This 45910-nucleotide long non-coding RNA is filed under the name Sorghum bicolor (sorghum). RNAcentral describes it as "long non-coding RNA (SBIC_LNC017251)". Lineage: Eukaryota; Viridiplantae; Streptophyta; Magnoliopsida; Poales; Poaceae. The record is from RNAcentral.
ACACAUUGAUUCAUGUAUCCAACAAUUACAUUAUAUAUGUAAUGUCACUUAACAUUGAACUAGGCACUUAACAUGACAAGUAUCAAUCUGCAGCAACAAGAGGCAAAGGUGAUCUGCCAGGGUAUAUGCAUGUCACUUGCUAAUUAUUUAAGUAGUCACUUUCUAAUUAGCAAUUUCAUAUUACAUGUCCCACUAACAUACUCAAAGUAAACCUCUUUGGUACUCGAUACAAGAGAAGAAGCUCAUGUAAUUGAUUAUCUUCUUGAAGGAAAUAUCCAAGUCAUUGGGUUCUGCCGUUUACCAACCAACAUACAGGUUUUUGGCAACAUCAGAGGAUCCCAAAGAACAACUAAUAAAUCACAUUCAGAAAUAGCAAAUUUGAAAUGAGAUGUCCAUCUGUUGUAUCUCAUUCCAAAGCACAAGAACAGAGGGGAAAUAAACUAAUAAGUCGAAGUUCUGUUCUCAACAAAACAAAGUAAGGCAUCGGUUCAAAUUUAAUCUACAGAAGGGUAAGUAAGUCUCUAGAACUCAGUUCCAAGCUGCAUAUAUAAGUUAACAGGAGAGAUAUCAUUUUGGUUCGAAAAAUAACCAAACUAGAUUCAGAGGUCUACUGAGCAAAAAGAAAUAACAAUGCAGUAAAUGACUAUGUGUGGAGAAGAAUACUAACCAUUGCAGCGACAGAUAUCUUUAAAGAGGAAAAAACCCAUCAGUUCAAGUUAACACAAAGAAGGAUCCCAUUUCCCAAGCAAACUAUGAUCCUGUUCACUCAUGCAUAUAUAUAUAUAUAUAUAUAUAUAUAUAUAUGCUCACUAUUUUUUAAAAUCAGAGCAUAACUGCAUUAUUCAGGUUACAAUAGUGCAGGGCUGCAAACUUAAAUGCUCAGUUUUAAGAAGAAACAAACACAAAUAUAAAUAAUGAAAUUGGCCGCAACUUUUUGGAUACUAAUGUAUUUUUUCCCUUGUUUUGUCUCCAUAGUUCCAAGCAUGGUCCAAUUAUAUUGGUCAUCAUUCUCAUGCUGGUAAACAGAAAAGAUAUUGUAAAACCAUAAUGCAUAGCAAUUAGAUUCUCCGAAAUAUCAAUCUAAAACAACAGCAACAUGUGAAACUAACUUAGUUUAGUUAUUUUAUCAAACCCAUAACAGGUAACAAGCACAUGUGCAACAAAAAGGUAAGAAGUUAAAAGAUAGUUGUAAAAAGGUAAUCACAUACAAAAGCAAUAUUUAUUUUCCCCACUAAGAUAGUUACAGAGUAGAUCAAAAACAAGUAUGGUCCAGUGCAGAACUGCAGACUCUUAUAUAUUUACUUGUAACUAGUGACGAUACAAACGCUUAUCUGAAAAAUUGGGCUAUCGAGUGUGAAAGGUGACAAAUAACCUACAAAUAAACUAAUAGAAGAAAUCAAAUGCAUUGAAGAGUGGAUUGAUCACUGAAGUGCAGUGGGGGGAAAAACUCUGUUAAGAUUCAUCGAGUGUGAUGAAGAUAACAGCAAGAAAAGACCAAGCUCUCCAAAUUGAAACUAAGAUAACAUAUCAAUACCUCAAAAAAUAAAGACAUGUUUGAAAGAGCACAACCAGAAGGACAGGGUACCUUCAUCUCAAAAAGAACAAAGUUUUUUUUUCUCAAUCGGGUGGUUAACCCGUAUUUCAUUAAGAGGAGCGUAACAACCUGUUACAAAGUUUAACCGUCAUCGGCGAGCAGCCAAUAAAUAGGCAGUAGCAACCUAACUACUGGAUACAAAUUUUGUUGUAAUUACAUUCGAUACCUUAAUCUCAAAAAGGACAAAGUACCUUAACAAACACCCAAGAAGGCAGCAUGCCGUCACCAAUAACCCAAGUAACUAGACCCUGAAUGUCCUGCAUUACAAGAAAAUGGCUCUUUACUAAACUACAAGAACAAGAAUAGUUUUCACGAGCCAAAUUUCAUUAAGCUUUUGUUAUGAACGAACCUACAGAUUUAAUGUAGUGUUUAAAGCAGCCUCCUUGAAAAUAACAUCAGGCUUCGCCUGGACAGGAUAAACAAGAAGAGACAGUAUGAGUUGGAAGCACAAAAAAUACGAAAAAAAAGACAGCUAUGAUGUCUAUGAGAAAAGUAAGCAGGCAGCAGCACAAGAAUGAUUCACCAGCAAGCACACAACUAACAGCUAACUUUUCAACUAAAUGAAGGUUUGAGAGUACACUAUUAAAUUAAUAAGUAGGCAGCAUGCCAUCACCAAAUCAUUAUGCCAUGCCGAUAGCUCUAGUACAAAGUACAAACAAGUGAUUUUGGAUUCAACUUAGAAAGUCCCUAAUUGAUGAGUGAUCCCUAAGUUGAUGAGCAAGCUCUGAAGUCUGAACACAGUACAGAUAGCACUGCUCCAAAUGCAGUAUCACUUUACUAUUCGAACAAGAGGAGCCGCACUUUGCUACCUAUCAAGCAAUCAAUCAGGAUUCACACCUUCGACAUUCAAGUAUAGAACUCCUAAGUAAACAAGCUACGAAAGUUUUCAAGCUGUGUCCAGUGUCCUUGAAAAAUGUUGAACCGGCUCAAGGUUGAUCAAUGGAUCAAUCCAGUAAGCCCUUGUAUUUAGUCUCCCAACCUAUCAGCUAUCCAUGACAUCCAUUUUGUGCAAUUUUGCUUUGAUGAAACAACAGAGCAAACUUAAUAGGUACAGUUCACGCCACACCAACAGUAGCAGCAUUUACACAAAAAUCCCACCUCACUACAAAUCCCAUGGUAAUUCAACGAACAUUGAUGCCAAUCACAGUCCCAUCAGUCGUGAUGCAAUGCAACACCCCCUGUUUCAAUCUCAGCAGAACUCCUACUCGAAGAAUUCCAACCAAUCAAAUUAACAUAUUCGUAGAUAAAACCAACCACCUGCAUGCUGCAGCGCCCAAUUUUGCCAUACAUCGGAGAUUUUUUAAAAAAAACACUAACAGAACAACAGAGAAUGCAAAAAAUGCGAUCUUUUUUCCAAUAACGGACCAACUCAGCUCAACUCGAUGACAAAUUCCCCUUCAUGUCACACCACGCCGAAACCUUAAUUUUCCGAGAGGGGACGGGGGAGCGGGAGGCGAAGAAGCAAGAGAGCACGUACGUUAGGGCCGUAUAAGUCGUAGAGCGCGGAGGAGGAGGAGGCGCCGCCGCCGUUGCCGUUGCCGGAAGGGGUCGACAUGGAGGCCACCGCCGCCGCCGAGGUGGAUGCCCUAGUGCUUCUGUGCCGCCGCCGACCUUGCGAGUGUCCUGCCUUCGGGACUCGAGUGUCGAGUUGGCGAGUCUGAGCUGGUUGCAUCGUGGCUGUGCGACGUGGUGAGGGCGCAAAGUAGAGAUUGGAAGGAGGAAGAGGACGGUGGUGCGGGCAGCCGGCGGGGGUGGCUAGCGGGGAGAGCGGCCGGCAGGGGCGCGCGGCGGGGCGAGCGGCCGGGCGGCGGCGCGAGCAGCUGAAGGGGCGCGCGGCGGGGCGAGCGGCGGCAGAUGGUAGAGAGAAAAUGAGGCUUUGGUGUAUUUGGUCUGUGUGAGUAGUUAGGGUUUACAUGACUUUUGGGCCAAAAUUUUUGCUGGAGUGGGCCAAAAAACGUCUCGCCAAUGGACACUAAUAUUUAGCAACGGAUGAUCCGACUUAGUUAAUGUAAAAUAGCGACGGAUGAUCCAACGCAAAAGUAAAAUAUUUAUAGCAACGGAUCAUCCAUCAAAGUAUUGAAUUUUAGCAACGGAGCAUCCGAGGGACAUGUUUAGCAACGGACUGUUCAAUGGUAAUUUUUAUCUUUAGCAACAGACAGCUGAUGCUGUUUUAGUGUUGUGGUAUAGUGUUAGGACUGUAUAGCAUUUAUCCAUGUGUACUAUGGGUAAAUGUUAAGUAUUGUGUAGGCAUGGUGCCUAUACCGUAUUUAUCCGCGAGUGUACCCUAUAUGCCGGAUCGUGGGGUGGUUCGCGGUGGUGACAGCUCCGUUGAUUGUUAUAUAGACCCCCUCCAGUGUAUAGGGUAGGCAGAGCAACAUUAUUACAGGGGAGUGAUUGCUAUGUUUCUCAUCUUCCUUGAUAAUAUCACUAUGCAUGGGCGUAAUCUUGUCUCGCAAUGAUUGCCAAGUAUAAUUGCACUAACUAUGGUAUGCUAGACUUUAUAGUUAAGAAUAACUUAGGAAAUAUUUUUGUAGUUCAUCCUAAUUCCAUGUUAAUGACUUUCUAGAAUAUCUGUUGUGGUGCUUAUCAUUAUCAUAUGUGGCUAGUUAUACUGAUCAGAAUAGUUAUCUUUGUCACCAUUCAUAUUUUAUCUAUAUUUUAUGUGACACUUACCCCUGUAUUGAUGAGAUAGAUGAAUGCUCUCUAUUACACAUGCAAUGAUACUCAGUUCCAUAUUUCAUACCAUCAUUAUUAGUAAUCACUUCCCAGUGGUAAAAAUAUAAAUAAAGAUACCUAGAAUACUUAUCGGUUAAAAUGCUACAUCGGUAUUAAUCUGUGUGCUUGCAGAUCUCAUUUAUUAUUUAUCUAGAUGAGCAAUUGUAUAUUUCAGUACCGCGUCUCUCAUGUCAUGUUGGGGAUGACAACUUGGCUUAAGUGGCAUGAAUGAUAGAUUUGGCAUUUUUGGCGCCGUUAUCAGAAAUAGAAAACUAAGCCUACUUUUGGUAAUGAAGUUAAGAAUGCCCAACAAGCAUUUUUGGCGCCGUUGCUAGGGACAGUUGAUUUACUAAUAGGAAUGAAUAAGGAAUAAUGAGUCAUCAUUCGCAUCACAAAUAUGAUUGGGAUCAUCAAUUCUAUCGUAUAGGUGUACCCCUGUAGUUUGCUAUUUUUAUUAUUUUAUGCAGGGUGAUGUAUGAAUAGAAACGAUCUUCCAGAUAAUUUCGUUGACGACCCCAAUGCAAUAAUCAGAAAAACAAGAGCCAAGCUCAAGAAAGUUAGAUCGUCAACACUUCAGCGUAAAGCUCCAUCAAAUCAAGAAGAUCACUGAAGUUUCAUUCAAAACUUGACAUCAGAGUUUGAAGCCAUGGCGAACAAGUCAAUCUGUGAGUUCUCAGCUCCCACCACGGACAACAUCCGCACUGGACCUGCUGUAGACAUUGACUGGACAUUUGAGCUCAAGCCUGGGCUCAUCAACAUGGUGCAAGCAAAUCAGUUAUGUGGGAAGGCACGUGAAGACGCUAGUGCUCAUCUCCAACACUUCCUGGAGAUUUGCAGCACGUUCACCAUUAAAGAUGUUCCUAGAGAUGCCAUACUACUUCACCUCUUCCAAUUCUCACUGUUGGGGAGAGUGAAUCAGUGGUUCUAUGCAACAAAGGAGAAGAAUACUAUGUGGGCACUCUGCUCCACCAAUUUUCUAGCCAAGUUCUUUCCCAUGGGCAAGACCAAUGCUCUCACUGCUGCAUGAUCGGGCAUUAGAACCGGUCGGGAAGGGCCUGUUGCCCCGGUUCCCAAGCCGGUGCUGCCCUUCCGGGACUCAGGACCCGCCCUUUACGCCCAGUUCGGGGAUCCGGGGUUAAAACCCCCCCCCUGUUAUACACGGGUUGGUAAUCCCAACCGGUGUUCAAGGGUCCGGCCAGGGGGGCCAAGUCGCAGGCCCCUUUAACACCGGUUGGUAUUACCAACCGGUGUUAAAAGGGUUUUUUUUUCACUUCUUCGGUUCUGUUUAUUGUUUUUAUAUAAUAAUAAUAGGUUUUUCAAUACAUGUUUUUGCUGAUACAAUAAUAUAUUUAUAUUACACGCAUAUUAAGCAUAUAUAAAUGAAAAUUAUAGGCUUAGCUUAAUAAUAAGCUUUGCCUAUAAUAAAAUGAAUAGGCCACAUCAAAAAUUAAAUAGAUAUGUAAAAAGCCUUAUAUAUUGUUUUAUAUGUACAAAAUUCGUAACACAUAUAUACAUAGAGUUUUUUCUCCCAAUGUCUACAAACGAUACAAAUGAUCAUCAUUGUUUGGAAUAAGAAUUUCGUUGCCGUUGAAGUGAAACUCGCCGUUUGGAUUGAUCACUUGCUCGCGAAGAAAUCCUGCUAUCGUUUCUUGGAUAGCUUUGAUUCGGUCUUUUUGUAUGACCUUUUCCCUCAACCAUUCCGUCUUUAAUUUGAAAUAAAUAAAAAAGGUAUUAGUUAUCUAAGUUAUUCAAUAUAAUUCAGGAGAUAAUGAAAAGAGACAUGUAACGUACUUUGAGCGGCUCUGUGGGUGUUUGAUUGACUUGUGCCAUCAUGAAUUUGCACACGUAAUAUGCACAUAGAUUGUUUCCCCUUCUUGUCUUAAACACCACUGUACGAUAUAUAUAUAUAAAAUAUUCACGACCACGACAAUAAGAAGGCUAAAAGUUAGCGAAAGUUUGCUAGCUAGUAGAACUUACUUGUGGAUGUAUUAUGUUAAGCGGCGCUUUACAUCCACUGAGAUGUUCACGGUCAAUGAAUCUUUCCCAAACGCUACACACAGCCAUUGUGGAUCGUGAACUAAUAAUUAUAGAGUCAUAUUAUGAUAUUAUUCUAGCUAAGAUCGACAUUACGUACCUGUUGAUGCAAAAGCUGGAUCUGCAAACACAAAGGGCUAAUACCCGAUUCAAACGUUAAGGCGUGCCAGCCGAUUUGACCUUACAAUCGGCAAAGUUGUAACUCGAAUACUUUGGUCCUGACAACAGCGAUGCGCCUAGAUGUCACGGCCAAAAGGUAUUCACGCGGAACUCGAGAAUACGCCGAACUUAAGUCGACGAACUCCUAAGAACUCGUAGUAAAAAGAAAAAAGUAUGACGAAGUCGUCGAAAAGUAGAUGCUGGAAUAUAAGUGAAAACUUGUGUUUGAUUGAUUGAUUCGUUCAUAUUACAAGGCCCUAGGGUCUACAUUUAUACCCUGCUCAAAGAGCUACAAUCAGACACGACUAAGACUCGAAUUCCAAAUUUAACAGAAUCCGUAUACAAAACGAAUUUAAACGACUAAGGAAAACAUAAAACUAUCCCCUUGUAACCGACCAGGACACCGCCACGGGUCAAUCGGCAACUCCCACGGAGCCAUCGGCAACCUUCCUCAUCGGCAACUCUUCUACAGUCUAGUUACCGUUGCUCUGCCUGCCGAUCUUGUACCCUACUGGUUCCUGUGCACGUGUCAAAAAAUGGUGUCAACACAUGCCCCCCAGUUUUAGAGUAUGAAAUCCUGAAUGCUCCGAAAUUCUCUGCAUUAAUGACGCCUUUCCGCAAUUAAUCUUCCCAAUUUGGCAACCGACUAAUAAAUCCGAACAACUUUGGCCCGAUUCUUUCGCAGACUCCUAGAAUUUCUCAACCUCCCAAACCAGAUAGCGGACAUCCCCACUUUAUUCGCCCAUCGGCAAUAUGGUCGUUGGAGGAAGCUGCCGAUGGACCGACCAGGAAAUCCCGCACAGUGAAAUAUCUCCAGAUCAUGACCGCUUCGUGUCAAAUCGCCUGCACAAUCCCUUGAUUACCGUGCGAACAGUUACCAUAUCUACCAGAGUAUUCUCGGAUUUCACGGAUACGGCGAUGAGAUAAGUCAGAUUUGCCCUUGCCCAUUUUGUCCUAUAAAUAGUUCCUUCUCGAGUACUCCUUCUCCAUCGCAUCAUUCUACAGCCCCAACUCUGCUUUUCUGGCAACGGCACUGCUCGAGAGCCCCAAGAACUCCAACGAAGGCCUUUCUCCACCAACCCCAAAGUCUUCGAUUGUCUUCCCUGCGAGGAUAUGGCCAUCAACUUUGCUAUUCCUGAGGUCAGUUCAUCACCCCAUCUCUCCUGUAUUUUCACCGCACUCCUGUUCAUUCACAGUUCAUCUUACUGAAUACCUUUUUUCUUUUCUCUUUUGCUCUUCUUUCACCCCCAAAAACCUCUAGGAUCUAUCUAUAGAAUCGUCGUCCAUACCGAUCAACCACACCUCCAAUGUCUCGGUCCACUAGGGAACCCAGAUCCUACCGAUCUGAUCAACGCAGAGACAAACAGAAUCCCCUUUAGAGCCGAGAACUUCUCUCUAGAUCUGUGGAAAGACGCCUUCCAUUCCUGGCCCAGUAUCUCCAAUCCCAGUAGAAUCAUCCCCUUCUUCUCCAAAAGCCCAGACACAGCAAAUUCCUUCUCCUCCUCAGCCACAAGGAGAACCUCAAGUGGAAGAGCUCCAGCCAGAAGAACCUCAGCCAAAAGAAGUAUUGGUUGAUGUACACGAGCAGACUGCUGACCCAGCAAGUCUAACCAUAGCAUCGAUAGCUUCUUCGGUCCAGACGAGUACUGCAUCCCCUCAAGGUAAUAUAUUUUCCAUUUAUUGCCGAUGAACCUAUUUCUCCACUUUACCUAAUCACUUCUAUCAAUCUUUUCAGCUGACAUAGUCUCAUCGACGAUUCCAGCCAAUCAGCCCGUGGUUCCAUCGGCAUCAUCCAGUCAGAGGCGAGAGAUGGCCCUGAAGCAAGUAAGUUACCCAAUCUCUACAUGUAUCGUUUACCAAUGCUUGAUCAUAGAAUAACUUAUUUUGUUUAUUCUCUUUCAGGAACAGGACUCCUCUGACAGCUUGUUCUCCUUUGCCAUCGACAUCUCUGAAGAUGAAGGCGAGGAGGCAAGUUCUUCCUGAGCAGUUGGAAUCACAUCGGCAGAGAUCAGGGCAAAGUUAGAAGAAUUAUCAGCCCUCCUUCAUCAAGACACAGCCCAACUGGUUGAUGACUCCAACUCGGCCAAGGCCUUGUUCAAGACCCUCAGAGGCCAAAUUCCUGCUGAUGCUGAAGAAAUCAUUUUUCAAGCUGCACAUCUAGAGAGCCGUCAGCUGCAAUAUCAAAAGGCUACCCAGCGUCUUGUCGAUAGAGCUGCUCAGGCUCAGCUUUCUGAGGAGAUGAUGAAAGUGAAGCUCCUUGCCGAUGAGAAGCACAAGAACAUCGGUAUCUUGAAGUCCUCAGGAGAUGCGCUGAAGCACAAGAUCUCUGAUCUAUCGGCAAAAAGAGAAGCCCUGUUGGCAGAACUCAAGCAAGUAGAAGAAGCCUUGUCCCAAGCUCAACAAGAGGAAGGCCAGCUGCCUGAGGCGAUCAAACUUCUUGAACAAGAGCGAAAUGUCCAUGGCCGCAAAGCGUUGCAGAUGAAGAAGAAGCUGAAGCCAGUGGAGGGCUCUACCGAUGAUGACGUGAAGGAGAUAGAAGAAGCCAACCAGAUCCGUCUCCACGCCAAAUCGACGAUCCAGGCACCGUUGAACAUGUGAACUCUUCAUCGGCGGCGUUCUUUGCUUCUUCAUUCUAACCAUUUUGGUCUAGCCGAUAGGACUGUUAUCGACAUCUGUUUAAAACAUUAAGUCCGGUCCCAGAUACAGUUUUAAUCUAGCCGAUAGGAAUGUUAUCGGCACUUAAUCUCUCAUGCAUCGACCCAUAUGCUCGGGUAAUACUUCUUUAAAUAUUUGCCAUUUAAUGCUCUGGGAAAUUCAACUCCUUCGAGAGUUUCCAAGAUAUAAGCGUUGCCAGGAGCAGAUCGAUUUAUCCGAUAAGGACCUUCCCAAUUAGGAGACCACUUCCCAAACUUUGAACUUUUAGUCCCGAUCGGUAAGAUUAGUUUCCAUACUAAAUCUCCAUCGGCAAACUCCUUAGCCUUCACCUUCUUAUCAUACCAUAUAGCAACCCUCUCCUUAUUUUCUUCUAUACUUAUCAGAGCUCUUAGCCGAUGUCCUGCUAAAUCAUCCAAUUCGUCUGUCAUCAAUGUAGCAUAAUCAUCGGCAGCCAAUUGAUCCUGAAAAGAUAGUCGUCUAGAUCCAGUCUUAACCUCCCUAGGUAGCACUGCAUCGUGCCCAUACACCAACUGAUAAGGUGAAACUUUGGUCGAUCCAUGACAAGCCAUCUGAUAGGACCAUAAAGCUUCAUUUAACAACGUAUGCCACCUCCUAGGAUUUUCUUCGAUUUUUCGCUUAAUAAGCUUGAUAAUUCCUUUGUUAGACGCCUUGGCCUACCCGUUAGCUUGAGCAUAAUAAGGAGAAAAUUUUAAUACUUUGAUUCCCAUACCGAUUGCAAAUUCAUCAAACUCUCCUAAUGUAAACAUGGUACCCUGAUUGGUAGUAAUCGUUUGAGGAAUCCCAAAUCGGUAAACAAUAUGCUCUUUCACAAAAUCAAUCAUAUUGGCCAAUGUGACUUUCUUGAAAGGAAUAGCUUCAACCCACUUGGUGAAAUAAUCGGUAGCAACCAAUAUAAACUUAUGUCCUUUGCUAGAUGGCGGAUAAAUCUGACCGAUUAGAUCAAUAGCCCAUCCCCGGAACGGCCAAGGUUUAAUAAUAGGAUUCAUGGCCGAUGCGGGUGCUCUUUGAACAUUGCCAAACUUCUGACAUCCUUGACACCCCUUGAAAUAUUUAAAGCAAUCUUCAAGUAUGGUUGGCCAAUAAUACUCAUUUCUCCUAAUCAUCCACUUCAUCUUAAAUGCCGACUGGUGUGCUCCACAGACUCCUUCAUGGAUUUCUCCCAUCAAACUUUUAGCUUCAUCUUCACCCAAGCAUUUGAGAAGAAUCCCAUCAAUUGUUCAAUAGUAUAAUUCAUCUCCGAGGAGCACAUACUUGGUGGCUUGAAACCGAACAUGUCUUUCAACUUUCUUGGAUGGAUCCUUCAAAUAAUCAACGAUUUCUUUUCUCCAAUCAUCGGCGCUAAUUGCCGAUAUCGUAUUCAACAUGAGCUGGUAUCCCGAGGCAUGUUGAGCCAACCGUUGGCCUCUUCAUUAUGCAACCGAGGAACAUGCUCUAAUCGGAAAUCCUGGAAUUACUUUAACAACUGCAUACUCCUCUCGUGAUAAGUUAUCAGGACUUCGCUGCGACAUUCAUAGCUUCCAGCCAAUUGAUUUAUAACCAGCAUAGAAUCCCCAAAGACUUCAACAGUGUCAGCAUGAACUUCUCUUAAUAGUUCCAACCCUUUUAUUAAAGCUUGAUAUUCGGCUUGAUUAUUUGUCGAUGUGGCAGCAAUCGGCAAGGAUAACUCAUAUUUCCUUCCCCGAGGGGAAAUUAGCACUAUGCCGAUUCCUGCCCCCCGGUCACACGUGGAUCCAUCAAAGAAGAGCGUCCAAGACACAAUUUCCAAAGUUUCCACUGCACCACGAUGUUGAGUCACAAAAUCGGCCAUGAUCUGUCCUUUAACCGCUUUAGCCGAUUCGUAACGCAGAUCAAACUCCGAUAGCGCCAAAAUCCACUUACCGAUCCUGCCACUCAUAAUCGGCAUAGACAGCAUAUAUCGGACCACGUCAUCUUUGCAUAUAACAGUGCAUUCGGCCGAUAAUAAAUAGUACCUCAACUUAAUACAUGAGAAAUAUAGACACAAAUAUAACUUUUCAACAGCCGAAUACCUGGUUUCAGCAUCAAUUAACCUCCUACUUAAAUAAUAAAUUACACGCUCCUUCCCUUCAAAUUCAUGAAUGAAAGCUGAACCGAUGACCAUUCCAUCGGUAGACAAAUACAAUCUGAAGGGCUUUCCUUGCUGGGGUGGAAUCAGAACCGGAGGAUUCACCAAAUAAUUCUUGAUUUCAUCUAGGGCCAAUUGUUGCUCUUUUCCCCAUACGAAUUCUUGAUCGGCUUUUAAUUUGAGUAAAGGACUGAAAGCACGGAUUUUACUAGACAAAUUAGAUAUAAACCUCCUGAUAAAAUUUACCUUGCCGAUCAAGGACUGGAGCUCGGUUUUGUUGGUAGGAGCAACUAUUUUGUUGAUAGCAUCAAUGGAUCUUAUACUAAUCUCAAUCCCUCUCUGAUGCACCAUGAAACCAAGAAAAUGUCCUGCCGAUACACCAAACACACACUUAUUAGGGUUCAUCUUUAAACCAUGCUUCCUUGUGCAUUCCAACACCUUUCGCAAAUCGGCAAGAUGUUUUGUAAAAUCUCCAGACUUAACCACCAUAUCAUCGAUGUAAAUUUCCACCAGCUUGUCGAUGAACUCAUGAAAUAUAAAAUUCAUGGCUCUUUGAUAAGUAGCACCAGCAUUUUUCAAGCCAAAGGUCAUGACUAUCCACUCAAACAGCCCAACAUGACCAGGACAUCUAAACGCAGUCUUUGGAAUAUCCUCUUCAGCCAUGAAUAUUUGAUUGUAUCCUGCAUUACCAUCCAUAAAACUGAUGAUCCGAUGUCCAGCCGCAGCAUCAACCAGCAGAUCGGCAACCGGCAUUGGAUAACCAUCCAUCGGCGUAGCUUUAUUAAGAUUCCUGAAAUCAAUGCAAACUCGAAGCUUUCCAUUUUUCUUGUAAACUGGGACCACAUUGGAAGUCCACUCGGCAUACCGACACUGCCGAAUAAAUUUAGCUUCAAUAAGUUUGGUUAUUUCGGCCUUAAUAUCAGGAAGAAUAUUAGGAUUACAUCGGCGAGCUGGCUGCUGAUGUGGCCGAAAUCCAGACUUAAUAGGUAACCGAUGUUCAACAAUUGAUCGGUCCAAACCAGGCAUCUCAGUAUAAUCCCAAGCAAAGCAAUCUUUAUAUUCCUUUAACAAAUCGGUUAACUGCUGCUUACACUUAGAAUUUAACUUAGCACUAAUAAAAGUAGGUCUAGGUUUAUCUCCACUACCUAUAUCUACCUCUAUUAAAUCAUCGGCCGAUGUGAAUCCCUGGCCUAAUUUUCCAUCAUCGGCGAACCUAUCCAUUGAAACUCCUCAUCAGAACCGAUUGCUUGGAUCGGUGGAAUUUCAUAAUCGGCGACUUUGAGGAAAUCCUUCUCCCAAAUCUCUCCUGAGAUGCACCUAGUCCUUUCAUAAGUGUCCGCCUCUGCCGAUGCAAUAACAUAGGAAGAGUCACCCGGCCGGGACAAUCUCAAUCUUGUCACCUACCCACUGGACCAAGCAUUGGUGCAUUGUAGAUGGGAUGCAACAAUUGGCGUGAAUCCAAUCUCUCCCUAGCAGCAAAUUGUAGGCACCUUUUCCGCUGAUCACGAAGAAAGUUGUCGGCAAAGUUUUGCUGCCGAUGGUCAACUCAACGCAUAUCGCCCCCUUGACCGGAGACACAUUCCCUUCAAAAUCUUUCAGCAUCAUAUCGGUCUUGGUCAAAUCUUGAUCUCCUUUUCCAAGUUUCUGAUAGACUGCAUAUGGCAUGAUGUUGAUAGCAGCCCCUCCAUCAAUCAAUAUCUUGGUCAUUGGCUGACCAUCAACUCUCCCUUUUACAAACAGAGCUUUAAGAUGCUGUCUUUCAUUAUCGGCAGGCUUUUCAAAAAUGGCUGUCAUCGGAUCUAGAGCCAACUGAGCUAUCUUGUCGGAAAACUCCAACCCCUCAUCAUCACUGGAUGGCGCAAGGAAUUCCAUCGGCAACAUAAAUACCAUGUUGACACCUGCCGAUUGUCCUUUCCCCUUAGGAUCUGAUUGUUGCUGAUCCCCAGGCUGGCUAGAGUUCUCACCCUUGCUUAGCUCCUCACGCCUUUCGCGCUGCAGUCUCCUUUUUUUGUCUUAGUCAACCCCUCUGGACACCAUGGGGGAAGAGGCGACUGCCUUGCCAACGGACGACGAUGUUCUCUUGACUCCAUCCGAUGAGUAUUAGCAUCCCUGCAAAAUAUGAACUCAUCUGGAACUCGUGCAUUAGCCAUCUCUUCAAGCUCUUCCCGAUUCCUGGGAAAAUAUUCGAUACGAUCACCAAGCCUAUCGUGCACACUGAGCGUGCCCCCCAGCCGAUCAUGAACCGACGCUCUCCCCCUAAUCGGCCCAUUAAAUCGCCGAUCAUCAUCGUGGUAGCGCCGAUCAGACCUGUCAUACCGAUCAUAGCCAUUGCACUCAGGGCAAUCCCCAACAGUGGGCAGUUUAAUGUUCUGCUCCCAGCAAUGGAUAAAGAAUGGACAGUUCCAGUGAUCCUUGUGCCGAUUCCACUCCCGUCGGCGUCUUUCUUCUUCCCGACGAUAGUCUUUUUGCUGGCGCCGAUACCGAUCCUCCCGUUGCUGCCAGGUCUCCCGAGGUCUUCUAUGAGUUAUCACAAUACCGGAUCGUGGAGGCCUUCCUGAGUUGGAUCCUUCCUGGAUCAAACCUUUUCCUUUGGCAUCGGCAGCAGUAAUCUGAUGCUGGGGAUCCACCGAUGAACUCCUCUCAGCUGCUUCCGAUGUCAAGACCUUGGUUUUCCCCUUAGCAUCUAGCAUAUUUGUUGGGAAAGGAUGUUGAUCGAUCUUCAUCGGCUUCUGGGCUUUGGAGCUAUCAAAUUUGAUUCUCCCAGACUCUAUAGCCGAUUGCAGCUGUUGUCUAAAAACUUUGCACUCAUUGGUGCUGUGAGAAGUUGCAUUGUGCCACUUCCAAUAUUUCAUCUUCUUCAACUCUUCAGCCGAUGGGAUCACAUGAUUGGGUGACAACUUGAUCUGGCCUUCCUGAAGUAGAAAGUCAAAUAUCCUAUCGGCUUUAGUGAUAUCAAAUGCGAACUUUUCUGGCUCUUUAUGUCCAAAAGGGCAGGACAUCGGCUUUUUGUUUUUCACCCAUUCUGCCAAGCCGAUGACUGGCUCUUCAUCAGAAUCUGAGCUUGCUGCUUCAUCGACAAAAGACACCUUUUUAUUCCAUGCUCUCUUGGGCUCAAAAGGUCUGACGUCCUGAUCAGAAAUCCUUUGCACCAAAUGACUUAAGCUCUCAAACUCCUGAGAGGCGUAUUUGUCCCUGAUGUGCGGCAACAAACCCUAGAAAGCCAAAUCGGCAAGCUACCGAUCGUCCAAGACCAGACUAUAACAUUUGUUUUUAACCUCCCGUAUUCUCUACACAAAACUUUCAACCGAUUCAUCUUUGCGUUGCUUCAAUUUGACCAAAUCGGUGAUCUUCUUCUCAUGGACUCCAGAAAAGAAGUACUUGUGGAAUUGCUUCUCUAGAUCGGCCCAAGUAAUCACUGAGUUAGGAGGUAACGAUAUAAACCAAGUAAAUGCCGAUCCAGACAAUGAUGACGAGAACAGGCGAACCCUUAACUCGUCCCUAUUAGCAGCUUCUCCACAUUGGAUGAUGAACCUAUUGACAUGUUCCAUGGUUGAUGUAUCAUCCUGUCCAGAAAACUUAGUGAAAUCUGGUACUUUGUACCGAUUUGGGAGUGGAAUUAAAUCAUAUGCAGGAGGAUACGGUGUCCGAUAAGAGUAAGUGUUGACUUUGGGUUUUAUCCCAAAUUGGUCCCUCAUCACUUCAGCGAUCUUAUCGGCCCAAUAAGCAUCGGCAUCUUGCCGAUGAGGUGGUUGUGGAUCUGGCACCUGUUGAUAAGCUUUCACGUGUCUGUGCAGUGCGCGAUCUGCAUGGAACAUUGGGUUAAUCACCUGGCCACCAAACUGCUGGCCGAGAUUCAUCGGCUGGUUGACCAAUCCUUGAUUCUGGAACCCAGGUUGGACUUGGCCCUGCUGAAACCCGAUAGCCUGACGAUUCUGCUGUGGAAACACAAAUUGCCCAGGCCAUCCAUUAUUAACAUUCAUUGGCAUAGAACCUGCUGAUGACUGGUAAUUGGGUAUCGUCAUCGAAUUGACAUACCCUGACUGAGUCAUAAACCUCUGUUGCGUCGGCAUUGAAUCUGCCGAUGCGUUAGGCAUGUGGAACGUUGGAGCUUGAGAAUUCCCAAUGUAAGGUCUCGCAGUAGUAGUUGUAGUAUACUGCGGACUCUGAUUCAUCGGCAUAUUUGGAGGUGCCGAUGCCAUAGGAGCAUUGCCUCUCACAUCAGCCGUCUGAGAUACGUUUGUCUUCGACGUCAACUCUGGAGGCAUACCGUAACCCCACCAGUUAGGAGGAGGAACCGAUCCCGACAUCGCCGACACCAAUAAAUCUGUAGCAAGCUUGAUCUGCCCAUCUAAAGUGGAUGGAUUGGUUAGCAUCGGUGUAGAUUGCGCAUUAGUAACUCCCAACGUGCUUGGAGGAACAGUAGUUUCUGCGCCCGCAACGGUUGUAACAGCCGAUGGAGCUGUAACUUCUGGUGAUCCCGGCUGAUGAUAGACAGGGCCCACAUAAUUUGGUGGCAAUUGUCCUUCUUUGAAAGUUCUAACCACGGCAUUGAAAACCGUAUUGGACAAUAUACCAGCUUGAUUGAUUAAGGCACGGUUAAUAGCGCCGUCAACCAUGUCUUGGAGUUUACCAGGAUUGGCGUCGAAAGUAACCUACCGAGGUGCCGGCAGUGCCUCCUUCUGGAUCACCUCACCGCUCCUGUUUAUGCUGAAGGAUUUCAAACAUUGCUGCUUGUAGUCCUCCAUGGCUUUUGCAAUAGCUUGCUUCUGCUCAUCUUUGAGACUGGCUUCUGUCACCGGGAUGACGUUCUCUAGAUCGAAUUCAGUAGUCGACAUGUUGAUCUUGAUCUUGGAUCUUGGUCCCACCAGGCGUGCCAAAAGAUAUGUUGAUGCAAAAGCUGGAUCUGCAAAUACAAAGGGCUAAUACCCGAUUCAAACGUUAAGGCGUGCCAGUCGAUUUGACCUUACUAUCGGCAAAGGUGGUAACUCGAAUACUUUGGUCCUGACAAUAGCGCUGCGCCCGGAUGUCACGGCCAAGAGGUAUUCACGCGGAACUCGAGAAUACGCCGAACUUAAGUCGACGAACUCCUAAGAACUCGUAGUAAAAAGAAAAAAAGUAUGACGAAGUCGUCGAAAAGUAGAUGCUGGAAUAUAAGUGAAAACUUGUGUUUGAUUGAUUGAUUCGUUCAUAUUACAAGGCCCUAGGGUCUACAUUUAUACCCUGCUCAAAGAGCUACAAUCAGACACGACUAAGACUCGAAUUCCAAAUUUAACAGAAUCCGUAUACAAAACGAAUUUAAACGACUAAGGAAAACAUAAAACUAUCCCCUUGUAACCAACCAGGACACCGCCACGGGUCAAUCGGCAACUCCCACGGAGCCAUCGGCAACCUUCCUCAUCGGCAACUCUUCUACAGUCUAGUUACCGUUGCUCCACCUGCCGAUCUUGUACCCUACUGGUUCCUGUGCACGUGUCAAAAAACGGUGUCAACAGUACCUUUGAAUAAUGUUUACUAUUUGUUGAUAAUUUUCUUGUGGUUUUCUCAUUGAGUCAAAUAUUAUCAACCGGUUCUUAGGAAUUUCAAUGACCAUGAGUAUCCAGUGAAAGCUGUUUACACACACAUAUAUAUAGUCAGGCCUAUAUAUAACUAUAUAAAACUUGUCUCGGCUAAUAAUUAUUAAAAUAAAAUAUGCAUGCAGUUAAUAACUAUAUAACUCACUCGAAGUUGAAGGGGAAGAGUAAUUUUUGUUUUUCUUUUUGGUUCACAAAGAACCUCAUAAGAUUGGUGCAGACUUCUGUCUCAUGAGCUGCUGUCCACACUGCCUGCGGAGCUUUGAAAACAAUAUAAGGGUCAACGAACCCAAUAUUAUUAUCAUUUCUGAUUCUGAGCUCUCUCAUUUGGUGCCUGCAUAUAUACAUACAAAUCCUAAGUGUGUAAGGAUUAUAUACAUGUAAUUAAAGAAGUUAGAAGUAUAAUAAAAAGAAAAAAAUACUUACAGACAAAAGCAGCUGACAAGAGAUUUGUCGAGAGCAUCGAGGUGACAUAAUUGGUGCAAUUCUUUGAACUGCACGUAUAUGAGGUCAUCUCCAUGGAAGUAGUGAUGUUGUCUAAUACCAACAGAAAUCCAAUUCUCUCCCCUUUUAGACGCCUCAAUGCACCAUUUGUUUAUUGCAAACAUUUGUGUGCCGAGCUCGUGUAAACGCUGAGGGUCGAAUAGACUCCUGCCCGGUUCAUAUCUUACCCUCCAUUGAUCAACUACCUCGGCUUUUUCAAAUGUUUGGCAUCCAAGAAUGGCGGCAAUUUCUUCCAUAUUUAAAUCGCUCUGUCCAAAGUAACGCUCAAGCGAGUCUAGCUCAGACAACGCUAAGGAUUUCUUUGGCAUCAAGUCUUCAUUUGAGCCGUAUUGAUUUGGCACAAUCAAAGGGGGCACUGGUUUUGAUACUUCUCCGAGCUGUGGGACCCCCUUUCCUACUCUCUUCUUAGACUGUGAAGACUUGACCAGAGACAUCUCAUAGUCCGAAAGUGCUGGCUUUUUCUGAGCUUCGCGUUGCUUCUUUUGCUGGUCCGCCACCUUCUGCCUCAGUUCCGAUGGCUUUACAUAAAAGUACGGCUUUUGUGGGUUAAGCCGUUUUUUUCUAUCCUCCUUCAAUUUAUCAAAAAAUUGUUUCACCUCAGCUUUGGAUGCAGCAAUUACCUCCUCUUCACUCUGUUCGUAAGGUAAUUUUUCUGGUGUCUUAGCUCUCUUUGCUGAGGCAGCCUUCUUUGUAGGUGGGACCGAUGACUUCGGUCGUUCUUGGGCGGACCGCUUCUGACUACCUCGCUUUGGAGGCGAGGGGACCGACCGUGCACUCUUUGGAGAGGGCGGUGCAGGCGGUGGAGGUGGUGGGGCCGAUCUUUUCGGCGUUGGAAAACGCGGUGGAGUUGGAGACCUCGGUGGAGGAGGUGGAGACCGUGGUGGAGGCGGUGGCGGGGUCGGUGUGGCCGCCGCAGGUGUUGGAGGAGAUCCAGCAUUGUCACCGUCCGCAGCAGUAUGAUGCGCUGGGGAGAGAACUGGACUUAGGUUGGAGGAGUCCCUGCAAAGAAAACAAUUACAAGUUUUGUGAGCAAACUUUUUUUUAAUUUCAAUACAUAAUAAAUAAUAUAAGAAGUAAAAUCACACACAAACCUAUGUUGAGGAAUAAUUAUGAAGCGCUUGCGCCAACAAAUAAAUGUCUUCUCAGCUUCACCUAAGGUCUUCUCUCCGUCUCCCCCUUAUGUCUAGAGGCACAUUGCCACAACCUUUCUCAACCCUAUCAACCGAGACGCUAGCAUAUCCACCAGGUACUGGUCGAUUAUGGAUUCUUGGAGUUCUCGUUCGGUCGAUAGGGUUGACAACAGCGAUAGCCACGUUUUUUGUUGCAUUCACAUCUGGUACAUGGAGCUCACAGGUAGUAAAAGCCUCUGUGACAUCAUCCACGGGGAAGUGUAGCUUCGUGUCAUCUUGAAUGGUUGGUACUUCCGUGGAUGCGCAGCUGCUUUUCAACAAGCCUGGGAGGCUAACGUUGACCUCAGGCUGUGAUGUACCUUGCCCUUUUGUCAUUUGACUAAGUGCUGCUUGCACUUGCCUUUGAAUCUCCGCCUGCAUCCAUUCUUCACGAGCUUUCUCGCGCUCUUCUGACUGCAGAACAAAAGCUUCCAGGCGGCGGAUCCACUCUGCCUCCUCAUCCUUCUUUCUCUGGCGGCUUCUGUAGCUAUCUUGAUCGGCUUGGAAUGAUUGCAGCCACGGAACUGCCCCAUAGCCUCUCGUACGCCCACCGUGCUCAGGAUUUUCAAGCGCAUAGGUGAGUUCAUCCUUCUCCCUGUUAGGCCUGAACUCACCAGACUGAACCGCCUCUCGUGCACGGACUAGUCUCUCUGCUGCUCUUGAUAUUUCUUGGCCCCAAACUAGCGCCCCGGUGUCUGGGUCCACACUUCACCCAUGACCGUAGAACCAAUGCUUGGAGCGCUCGCUCCAAUUCUUUGCUAUUGUCUCGGGUGUGACCCCCUAGCAAGCAUCUCCUGUUCCAUUCGGUCCCACUUGGGAACAGCACUCUUAUAACCAUCUGAUCCCAUAUGAUGGUGGUAUGUCUUUUUACUUGCAUUCUCUUUGUUUCUAAUGGCUCGUUCCUCGCCCUCUUCUGAUGUUUUGUACUGCACGAAGUCAUCCCAGAAGGCCCUCAGCUUUACAUAUUGCUUGAGGUUGAAAUUUGGAGUCUCGUUUUUUUUUGACAAAUUUAUUGUACAAAGUCUUCUUCCAAUUCUAGAACAGUACUGCCAUCUUCUUCAUAGUCCAGUCAUAAAUUCGCACCUUCAACUCUUCAUCGUUGGUGUCGAAGGUGAAAACGUCUCUGACGGCUUUCCAAACUAACUCCUUGUCACGAUCAGAGACAAAACUGAUCUCAGGAGCACCUCACUUCUCUCUCCAUUCACGAGCACUGAUCGGUAUUUGAUCUCUCACAAGAUAUCCACAAUGACUAACAUAUUUAUUUGCAUGUUCACCAAGUGGUCUGCCUGUAGCUAUCUCAAAGAUUACAUAGCGGCCCUCCAACAGCUUCUUUGGCCCUCAUGGAGGUACGCUUCUCCCCGUAGAGGUCGAUCCAGAAGGCUACACAUAGAUAUAGAAACAAAAAUACUAAAUUAAUAACCAAGUAAGUCUAAAACCUAAUGUAAGAGAUGCAUUAAUUAUAUAUGUUUACAUUGACAUACCUCGCCAGUAUUUUCUUCUUGUUGCACGACAAGUUGUUGCUAAGGCGCAUUGCCCUCUUGUUGCUCAGGGACAUUGCCCUCUUGUUGCUCAAUCGGAUUGCCUUGCAUGAUCUCGUUGUAAUCAAUAAAGUACUGACUACCGUCGUCGAUCAUAUGUUGAAUGGCAUCUUCCAUAUAAUCAGGAUCAUCAUGAGCACGGUCAGCCAUUUCUAUGUCUGCAACCAUACAUAUAUAUAUAUAUUCUAUAUAAGAUAAGAAAUACACUAGAAUAAUAUACUAAAAAACAAUACUAGAAUAAUAGUACAAACAAUAAUAUAUACAAAACACUACUAAAAUAAAUUUGGUGGGUAAACACUACUAGAAUAUAUAUUAGAGACUUAUAUACUACUACUAGUACUACUACAAAUGAAAGUGUUGGAGUGCUCUAAAAAUAAUACUAGAAUCUUUUAAGCCAAGUAAUACACUAGAAUAAUAUACUAAAAAACAAUACUAGAAUAAUAAUACAAACAAUAAUAUAUACAAAACGCUAGAAAAUAAAAUAUAUAUUAGAGACUUAUAUACUACUAGAACUACUACAAAUGAAAGUGUUGGAGUGCUCUAAAAAAUAAUACUAGAAUCUUAAGACUAGUAAUACACUAGAAUAAUAUACUAAAAGAAUAAUACUAAUAAUAGUACAAACAAUAAUAUAUACAAAAUAUUAGAAAAUAAAAUAUAUAUUAGAAACUUAUAUACUACUAGUACUACUACAAAUGAAAGUGCUGAAGUGCUCCAAAAAUAAUACUAGAAUCUUUUAAGCCAAGUAAUACAAUAGAAUAAUUUACUAAAAGAAUAAUACUAGAAUAAUAGUACAAACAAUAAUAUAUACAAAACACUAGAAAAUAAAAUAUGAUACAAGAAUAAUACAAGAAUAAUAUACUAUAUAUAUAUUAAAAAAUACUACUACAAAUAAUAUACUAAAAAAAUAAUACUACAUAAUAAUACAAGAAUAAUAUUAAUAUAUUACAAAUAUAUACUAGCAUAAUAUAAUUUAUAAAAACAGGUCAACACUACACUUAUACUAAUAUACUAAUGAAAAACUAAUUUAUAUAUAUAUAAUAUACUAAAAACUAAUAUACAUUCAUUCAUUCUGCAGAUUAUAUAUAUAUAUAGGCGUACCAACACACUACGGGAUCUCCGCGACUUCGGCCUACUACCACACCCUCUCCCCCCCAUUCGGAGAAGAUGGCUUGGGGAGCUCGGGCGAACCUAGUGGCUCCGAUACCAGCUUGAAAGGAUCGAGUCCAGGUCUAGGUGGGAUUAAGAUGGUAUGUCCGUGAAGGUGGAGUUUUUAUGCAGUUUAUAUGCAGGAAAGUAAAAUCGGAUGCAGUGCGGAAGAUAAAAUGAACAUAAAAGUAAUUAAUAUAAAAGUAAUAACUAAAUAUUUUUGGAUUUUUGAUUAAUAGAGAAAAUUAAUAAAGAAGCACACAACUAACACAAUAUAACAUAGAAAGAAAUGUAAAUAAAGUAGAACGUGAACACAAUUAUAUAAACAUAGUCCUGAAUUAUAUUAGGUACCUUGAUAGUCGAAGGUGAAUGCCUUCGAGUAGUACACUAGGCUCUUGAUACACACGAACACACGAACAAAGUACAGGGACUCGUUUACAAGACGACUCUCAUUAGACUCUCACACUAAGCCUCUUAUUUAGAGUAUAUGACACUACUACAAUACUUAGGUGGAAGGUGUUGCUCGUGCCCAAGGGCUUGAGCUUGGGUGUGUGAAGUUUCUGCGUUGUAGUUUUUUGUGCUCUCCUCUUGCCUCUUCAUCUUCUUAUAUAGGGGUGGCAAGGAUAUGGUUGUUGGUGGAGGUGCCUCUUCAUGAUGAUUCUUCUGACUUCUUUUCUUGCAUUAUUGGUGCAUCUUCAUGAUGAUCUUUUGACUCUUGUCAUACAUUAUUGGGGAAUCUUCAUGAUGACCUUUUUGACUUCACCAAAGUAGUGGAGCAUCUUCAUGAUAUCUCUUUUUGACUAUCUAUAGGCAUUAUGAUGAUACUUUUGACUUUGUCAAGGCCUUCAUGAUGUGCCUUUAGACUCUUGAUAAUGUUUGGUCUUAUCUUCAAUAAUGUAGAUUCCUUUGUCCUUGAAAGAUAUCUAGUCUUCUUUAUUUUGAUUGUGAUUUUAUUUGCUCAUUGGGGAGAAGUCAGAUAUUCCUCCCUGGGAUCCUUCUUCUUCUUGCUUCAUUGGUGAAUAAUAUACGAAACCUAGUACCGCUUGGCUGCAUUGUACUUGAUCUUCUUCAUCUUCUGGCUGAGGAGAUUUGAUCUGAAGUGGAUGAGGAGUAUCAUCUAACAUCUUGAACAUUCUUUCAUAAACAAGCAGUUUGAGAUCAGCUUGGGAUAAAUUUGGUUGUUUUAGUAAUAACUCUUUGGUGAUGUCUUCCUUUAGCUUGGCCAUGUUGGAUUUUUUGCUUGAGGCUUCAUAUCUUCUUUUAUUAAUGAUGGCCUGAAUAUUGAAUUUAUCCCACCAUCUUGCAUAAUAUUUUCUUCUGAGAGUUGCUGGGAAUUGGGUCUUUUGAAUAUCAAACUCCCACUUGAUGAUCCAUGGUAGGGAUGUUUCCACACAGAACUGCAUAAGUAUAAAGGGAUAGUCCUUUAAGUUUUUCUCGGACUCUUGUGUGAUCAUUCUGAUAAUGUCUUCAGGGAGUAUCUCUGGGAUUGCUCCGGCCUUAGGCCAGCAGUGUUUAAAGAACCAUAGUGGUAUUUCACCACAUCCUUCUUUGAAACGGAUGAACCAUGAAUGCUUCAUUUGAUAAUUUUGUAUGAGCAGCACUCUCUCCCAAGCCUUUUGAUAAUCCCAAUAGUUGUAAUUCUUAUUGAGGCAUGUGGCGGAGUAUAUAGUUUUAGCCACAUAAGGGUUGGAACUUCUGUCCCAUUCUUCCAAAUGAAUAACUUUCUAGAUUAAGAAUUUUGUAAAUCCCAAUUCUCCUCCAUUUUUAUUAUGGAAUAUUUGUGCGCUUUGUGUUUCGCACAGUAUUGUUUCAUAAUAAUUUUGAUCUUUGCCUGGAUACUCAGGUAUAAAAUAAGAAUCUUUUGGGAAAUACUUUCCCAAUAUGUUUUGAAGGUCGAGAUCUGAAUCAUUGAAUUCUAGAGGUAAUAUUAUUUCCUCUGAAUUCUGAAUAUAUUGAGACGCAUUUCCAUAUUUUCCUUGCGUCAUGGGGCUUUUACUUAUUUUCCCCUGAUAAGUUUGUUUGGAUGGAGAGCUUUCAUCACUUCUCCCUUUGAAUGAUAACUCUCUUUUGAGUGCCAUAUCCCUGUAAGAAUUCACGAGAUAAGAAAUCUGGGAGCGAAUUUAUUUCUCCCUUUAUAUGCUCAAUAUCAAAGUCAAAGCAUGAUAAUAUUGCUUGCCAUCUGGCAAAUAUCUGUUUGGAGACUAAAUUCUCCACAUCUUUUUGGAGGACAUCUUUUGCAGCUUUGCAAUCUAUUCUCAAUAAGAAUUUCUGAUUGAGAAGUUCUCCUUGAAAUUUUGAGACAACCUUUACGAUUGCCAAUAUCUCUUUUUUGAUGGUAGAAUAAUUUUUUUGAGCGUCGUUCCAGGUUCCUGAAGCGAACCUAACGAGCUGCUCUUUGGAAUCCUUCUUUUGUUUUAGGAUUCCUCCAUAACCAAAAUCUGAGGCAUCUGUCUCAAUAAUUUUAAAUGCAUCAUGAUCUAAAAUAUAUAAGCAUGGCAGUCUUUUGACCUUAUCCUUGAUCUGCUUCACUGCCUGAGUAUGUCUUGUGGUCCAGGCUGGAGGAUUUUUCUUUAACCUUUCGGUUAGAAUCUUUCUAUCUUUUGCUAAUCUUUCAUAAAAAUCUGAAACAUAAUUCAAACAUCCUAAAAAUCUUUGCAAUUGUUUCUUUUCUUUAAUUUCAUCAGGGAACUUAUCUGCAAAUUCUAUUACUCGGGUGACUGGAAGAACUUGAUCAUGUUGUAUCUUAUAUCCUAAAAAUUGUAUGUUGGUUUGAAAAAGUUUCAUUUUCCGAGCAGAAACUACAAGGCCAUUUUGGAUAAUUAUUUUAUAAAAUAUAUUUAGGUGCUUCCAAUGUUGAUCAAUAUUUUGUGAGAAAAUUAAGACAUCAUCUAUAUAGACUAUGAUAAAGGAGGUGUAUGGCAAGAAGAUUUCGUUCAUGAUUUUUUGAAAUUCUGAUGGAGCAUUUUUCAAACUAAAAGGCAUAGCAUUCCAUUCAUAAUGUCCAAAUGGUGUGGUAAAAGCAGUUUUAUACCUGUCUUCUUCCUUUAUUUGAAUUUGCCAAAAUCCAGACUUCAUAUCAAAUUUGGAAUAAAUUUGAGAUCCUUGAAUUCUUCGGAUCAAAUCAUGUUUAUAAGGAAUUGGAUAUCUUAUCCUUUGUAAUACUUUGUUAAGAGGCUUAUAGUUAAUAACCAAUCUAGGAACACCUCUUUCUUUUUCAGUAGCAUUUUCAACAUAGAAGGCUGCACAACUCCAAGGUGAGGAACUUUUCCUUAUUAAGCCCUUCUUUAAGAGCUCAUUGAUCUCAGAUUUGCAGAUUUCUAAAAGUCUACUAUUCAUUUGGAUGGGUCUUGCUUUGGUGGGGAUUUUAUCUUCACUAAAGCCAGAUAUGUAAGGGAGAGUCACAACAUGCUUUUUCCUAUGCCAAAAGGCAGAAGAAAUAUCAAAGCAUAUAUCUUUGAUAAAUUUAUCUUCCAGGGCUUUUAUUUUAAUCUUGAAUUUUGGAUCUUCAAGGGUCUUAUCAAUUCUUACUUUCUUGAUUUCAUCGGCAACCUCAUGAAUGAAUUAUUCUUUAUGACGGAUUGCUUCCUUUAGAUGAUUCAAGAGAGUCUCCUUAGGUUGGGAGGUGAACAUCAAAUCUACCUUCUUGCCUUUGAUGGUAAAUUGAAUACUUUUCUCAGUCACAAAGAAAGGUCUUGUUAAGGAUAGAAAUGGGGUUCCUAGGAUCACUCCUUGAUUGAGGUUCUUGAUCAAUAAGAAUGAUGUUUUCAAGCAGACUCCAGAAAUACAAACGUGGACCUCAGGAAUUUUAUGGCUAGCUUGGAGCAGAUUUCCAUUAGCCGCAUGAACCCUAUGUGAUGAUUUUUCAAAAUAUUUGAAAGGGAUAAUUCCUUCUCUAAUGCAGUUAACAUCUGCACCUGAAUCAAUCAAAGUUUUAUAUUUGAAGUUGAAACCAUCAUAGAAUUUAUAUUGGAUCUCAACAUACCAUUUCUGUUUAAUAUAUCUUUCUAUGGAGCCAACCAGUUCUUCAUUUUGGGCUUCAUUAUUUUUCUCAUCAUUAUCAGAGUUUUGAUAAUCAAGGAUUUGUUCUUUUCUUUUGAGAUUUCUUAAUUCUUCCUUAAUCUCUUUAUAUUCUUUUGAAAGGUUAUCUAGGUCUUGUUGCUUACAUUUUGUCUUUAGAUCUUUAUCUUUAGAACAAAACACUUUUCCUGACUCAUCUUUGUUGUUUUUUACUUUUGAUAAGAAUUUUUCAAGGAUAAAUCCUUUUUCUUCUGGGUUCUGCACAAUAUCAAAGGUAUCUAGCAAGAAUUGAUCUAGAUCAGUGAGAACCAAGAUGUUUUCAACAGCUUUUACUUUGUGCCUGCAUUUUUCCUGUGGGCUUUUGAUUUCAAAAGGGUCUCUGAAACUAAUUUGAUGGCAAAAAAUUUUCAGAUUUCUAUUCAUACUACCCUUUUGGUUUUUGGGCUGGUCUGUAGCGUCCAAGGCACUGCAACACUCAGCUCCUUCUAUUCGGAUUAUUUUCUUUUUAUCUGAUUUUCGAUAGCUUAUAGCUUCUUCCUUCUCGUAGGAUGGGGAAGGCCGGCUAGAAAUAUAUUUUUCUUUCCAAAAAUUUUGAUUAGGUUCUGGAAGAGUAUAUAAUUUUGAUAGGAAAUAAUCUUUAUACCCAUUUGUUGCAGUUUUGCAUCUCAAAAUAAUCAAUUGUUCUCUAUUCUUCUCAUAGUUUUCAGUAUGAUGAUAAACUAUGUUAUAGAGCAUGAUUAAGAUAAUAUUGGGAGCUAUUUUUGGAGAUUGUCCUUGAUCAACUGCUAGGACGACUUUCUUUUCAUAAAUUUUUGUGGCUUUAGCUCUGGAUUUUCUUUGGGUUUCACUAAGGUAGUGAUCCCACCAAAAACUUAUGUAAAACAUAUAGGAAGCAUUUCUAUUUCCACCUAUUAUGCCAGUCUUUGUACUCAUAGUUAUUUGAUGGCUCUUAAACAUUUGAUAAUCUGUGAGCCUUUCAGGAUUCCUUGUUAUGUAGGGCAUUUUGAAUUGAAGGUCCCAAAUAAUAUUAGGUGGAUAAUUUAUCAUAGCAAUUUGUACUGUUGUUGUGAGAGGUUUUGUUAGAUUUUUGCUAUACCCAUAAAUUUGGUUGAUAUUUUUAUUGACCAUAGGAAUUCCAAAACCAUCUGGAGGUUCCUCUAAAAUAGAGGAUCUAAUGGCCUUUUGUUUUCCAUGUUUGAAGUUGGGAAAGAUCAUUUGUGGGAUGAAAAGUGGAAUAAGUAUUUGAGUAUGGGGAGCAUCAGGAUGAGUGCUAGAUGGAAGAUUUACCUUGACUUCGCUUUUGCUAGGUUUUAUUCCAUCCAUGACAUUGGCAUCCACAUGCUCCGUUUGUUGAUUCACCAUGUGACCCUUAGGUUCAAACCUUAUAGGUUCAGCAUAGGUUACUUUGGAUAUACUUUUGAGUGGACAGGUCUUAAGGCUUUCAACUUUUGCUUCUGAUUGGAUGGGUUCAAAGGGUGGAUGAACAACUUCAACCUGUUUACCACUGGUGGUCUUCCAAUUUUUAGAAACCUUUUCUAUCAUGGUUAUUUUGUCAUCAUCAGACUCAGGUUCUAUCUUAUCCUUUUGUUUUGAAUCUGGUUUAAAGAAUUCUUCAAAAUGUCUGAUCUGACUGUUUUCAUACCAAUCAAAGAAGAAUAUGUUCUUCUUUUGCUCAAUCAUCUCUUUGUGCCAAAGUUCUCUAAUUUUCAACCUAAAAGGCUGAUCCACAUUCUUGAAAUACCUUUCCUUUUUGGCUUUAUUUUUGGGGAGUGCUAUCUCUCUAUGGAGAAGCUCUUUGUCUAUUUGGAACUCCUUUUCCCUUACCACAUAACAGUAUGUUUGUAGUUCAGGAUCGUCAACCUCAAUGACAUUGAUAUCAAAGUCAGAGAUUGAUGGUUCAUAGGAGUUGUCUUGAUGCAUAGUAUGGGCAAUAUUUUGUAGUUCAUUUUUUGUAUUAUUUUCUGAGUGGAGAGAUUUAUGCGUACUAGUGAUUUUUUUCAAAGCAUUUAUAUGAAAUAUUAGACAUAUCCUUGACCCACUUAUCACUGUUACACGAGGCUACAGACUUGUCAGAAGCACUAAGCGUCCUUACUAACCAAGACAUCUUAUACGAAGACAAAGAAGUUUAGAUGGGGUAGUUUCCAGUCCAACGGCAGGGAUAAACCUCACAAUUAAGAUCACCUUCUAGGGUAUAUGGUUUCCAGUCCAACGGUAGGGUUAAACCUCACAAUUAAGAUCAACUGGUUUCUCUGUUCGAGCUGCUAGUCCAACGAUUCACCACCUAAGCUGCUAGUCUAACGUUUCAACGCUAAUCAAACACCUAUCCUUCGGCUAAACAAGGCUAACGGGUCGAGGCAAGCUUAGACUAACGGGUCGAGGCGAACUCUUACAAGAGGAAACAGGAUCUCCGUGACUUCGGCGUACCAACACACUACGGGAUCUCCGCGACUUCGGCCUACUACCACACCCUCUCCCCCCGUUCGGAGAAGAUGGCUUCGGGAGCUCGGGCGAACCUAGUGGCUCUGAUACUACCAGCUUGAAAGGAUCGAGUCCACGUCUAGGUGGGAUUAAGAUGGUAUGUCUGUGAAGGUGCUUUGUUCGUGUGUUCGUGUGUAUCAAGAGCCGGGUGUACUACUCGAAGGCAUUCACCUUCGACUAUCAAGGUACCUAAUAUAAUCCAGGACUAUGUUUGUAUAAUUGUGUUCAUGUUCUACUUUCUUUACAUUUCUUUCUAUGUUAUAUUGUGUUAGUUGUGUGCUAUACAUUCAUUCAUUCUGCAGAUUAUAUAUAUAUAUAUUAUACUAAAAACUAAUAUACAUUCAUUCAUCAUUCUGCAGAUUAUAUAUAUAAACUGUUGGAGAUCGAUUUAGUAUACGUAGAGGAUCUAGACGCGGCCGGAGUUCGAUCGGUGGCCGGAGAUGGUGGCGGCCGGCGCUGGAGACGGCGCGGCGGCGGCGGCGCUGGAGAUGGUGGCCGCGGCGGCGGCGCUGGUGGUCGGAGCUGGCCGCGGCGGCGUUGGAGGUCGGCGAGGUCGCGCGCGGGCAGAUGAACGGGCGGCGGCGCUGGAGACGACGAACUCGACGAAGACGAAGAUGAACUGCUCAGAUCCAGAGCGCCCAUGACUUAAAUAGGGGCAGACCCUUUAGCACCGGUUCCAGCCACGGACCGAUGCUAAAGGGUCCUAGGCACGCUCGGGCGGGGUCCUAAAAAUUUUCGAGACCCUUUAGCACCGGUUCCCACUAUGGGCCGGUGCUAAAGGCCCUGUUUUUACUUUAGGGUUUUUCAAUUGUUUAUAUAUACAGUUUAUAUUAUAAAUUGUAUAGUAAAUUAAAUAUUUUGUAUAAUAUUUUUUAAACAGUGACAUAUAUUGUAAUUUUUUUUUAAUGUACACAUGAAAAUUUUUAACCUUAAAUAUCUUACUAUAUUUUUGUAAUUUACAAUAAUUUUGUAAGAAAUGUUUAGUAUUUUGUUAAUGCAAAAAUAUAUUAUUCCAAUAAAUUUACAAAAACUAUAACCAAUCAACUGGAAAUCUAUUUUCACAUCAUAUUGACGUUAAACUUUUUAUUUUUGUUAUUUAUUACUCGAUUUGCUAGUAGGGUAUAGUUUUCAUCAAAUAAAAAAUCUAUUUAUAAUAUAAAAAUAUAUAUCUUGAUGAACACACCCUUUGAUCAAACUCUAGAUUGUCCCAAAUGGAAAAGUCAUGAAUACAAAGUUUGUUACACUCAUCAAGUUCUACAUUUUGUCUAAUGGUCAACUUUUCUUUUGGAAAAGUUUGAACCACUGAAUUUUAAAUUUUCAGAGAAUUCAUAGCCACGUAGCGGUUUCGGAACCCUAGAUGGUCUCGAAUGGAAAAGUCAUGAAUACCAAUAUUGUUCCACUCAUCAAAAUCUACAUUUCAUAUAUAGACCAUUUUUGCAUUUGUCAAAGUUUUGGGAAGGUGUAGUUGAAAAUCCACAAUUGACGCAUAUAGUUUCAUAUAGUUUGUAUAGUUUGUGUGAGAUUCAAGAAUUGGUGGGUAUUGUUAACUUAAACUUUCUCAAAUGGAAAUGUUGUGUAUAUAAAAAGUUUAGAUCUUGAUGAUAUCUAACAACUUGGUAUUCAAAAUUUUUUCAUUUUAAGUAAUUUAGUUUGUCAUUUGACCAAGUUUGACCAAAACCAGUCUGAGAAUAUAUAGAAAUGUGAUUAGGAUUGGCUCAAAAUUAUUCAAAUAGAAAAAUGGACAAUAUAUAAAAUGUAGAUCUUGAUGAUCUCUAACAACUUUGUAUUCAAACUUUUUUCAUUUGAAGUCAUCAAAUGAGCCAUUUGACCAAGUUUGACCAAAGUCAAAACAUUGGUUUUUACAAAAACACCCUUUGACCGAACCCUAGAUUGUCCCAAAUGGAAAAGUCAUGAAUACAGAGUUUGUUACACUUAUCAAGUUCUACAUUUUGUCUAAUGGUCAACUUUUCUUUUGGAAAAGUUUGAACCACUGAAUUUUAAAUUUUCAGAGAAUUCAUAGCCACAUAGCGGUUUCGGAACCCUAGAUGGUCUCGAAUGGAAAAGUCAUGAAUACCAAUAUUGUUCCACUCAUCAAAAUCUACAUUUCAUAUAUAGACCAUUUUUCCAUUUUAAGUAAUUUAGUUUGUCAUUUGACCAAGUUUGACCAAAACCCAUCUUGGAUUUUAUAGAAAUGUGAUUAGGAUUGGCUCAAAAUUAUCCAAAUGGAAAAAUGGACAAUAUAUAAAAUAUAGAUCUUGAUGAUCUCUAACAAUUGGAAAAGUCAUGAAUACAAAGUUUGUUACACACAUCAAAAUUCACAAUUCUCAAAUAUAGUUUCAUACAAAGUCAAGCCGACACAACAGUGAACUUCUUCUUGACGUAUGACCCUUGGUUAUGAUCCUGCCGUAACCAUGGAGUAUCCUCAUUGUUUAACAGAAUGCUUGGGUCUUUGUUGACUAUGAAGGGCGGAAUUCGAUCAUCCCUUUCGUAAUUGCCUGACAUGUCUGACUUGUCCUCAAUUCCGACAAUGUUUCUUUUCCCAGAAAGGACAAUGUGGCGCUUUGGCUCAUUGAUGAUUGAGUGGUCAUCAUUUUUUCCUCUCUUUGGUUUCGUAGACAUAUCUUUGACAUAGAACACCUGACUCACGUCUGCAGCAAGGACGAAUGGUUCGUCUUUGAACCCACUAUUGUUAAGGUCCACGGUUGUCAUCCCAUACUCCUUGUCGACUGUUACCCCACCUCCGGUCAUCUUCACCCAUUGGCACCAGAACAAAUGAACUUUAAAAUUAGCUGCAUAGACUAGUUCCCAUAUGUCUUCUAUGCGUCCAUAAUAUGUUUGUCUGUUCCCAUUUGGAUCCGUGGCAUCCACCGUACACCACUAUUUUGGUUGGUGCUCCUUUUAUCUUGGCCAACUGUGUAAAAUGUGUUACCAUUUAUCUCGUACCCUUUGUACGUGAGGACAUGCCAUGAUGGUUGCCUUGCCAACAAAUAAAGCUGCUCAUCAAUGUUUUCAUCACCUUGACAUUUUUUGCGCAACCAAUCGCCAAAAGUUUCCAUGUGCUGACGCAUUAUCCAAGCUUCAUUCUUCCCGGUCCACUGGGACCGUAGGAAAUCUUUGUGUACCUCAACAUAUGGUUCCACCAAUGAGGAGUUCUGGAGAACUAGCUAUGUAGUGUGCUUUAUUGAAGUAAUCGUCUCCCGUACCAAUAUAUGUUUUCUUCCCAAGUGUUCCCUUUCCGCUGAGUCUGCCCUCGUGUCGAGAUUCAGGAAUGCCAAUUGGGUCAAGGUCUGGAAUAAAGUCAACACAGAACUCUAUGACCUCCUCUGUUCCAUAGCCCUUGGCAAUGCUUCCUUCUAGCCGGGAAUGACUAUGGACAUAUUUCUUUAGGACACCCAUGAAUCUCUCGAAGGGGAACAUGUUGUGUAGGAACACAGGACCGAGAAUACGAAUCUCUUUGAUCAGAUGAACUAGGAGGUGUGUCAUGAUAUCGAAGAAGGAUGGAGGGAACACCAACUUAAAGCUGACGAGACAUUGAACGAUAUCAUUUUGCAGAGUAGCUAGUUGCUCUGGAUUGAUUGCCUUCUGAGAAAUUGCAUUGAGGAAUGCACAUAAUGUUGACACUGUUUUUUGACACGUGCACAAGAACCGGUAGAGUACAAGAUCGGCAGGCGGAGCAACGGUAACUAGACUGUAAAAGAGUUGCCGAUGAGGAAGGUUGCCGAUGGCUCCAUGGGAGUUGCCGAUUGACCCGUGGCAGUGUCCUCGUCGGUUACAAGGGGAUAGUUUUAUGUUUUCCUUAGUCGUUUAAAUUCGUUUUGUAUACGGAUUCUGUUUAAUUUGGAAUUCGAGUCUUAGUCAUGUCUGAUUGUAGCUCUUUGAGCAGGGUAUAAAUGUAGACCCUAGGGCCUUGUAAUAUGAACGAAUCAAUCAAUCAAACACAAGUUUUUUCUCAUAUUCCAGCAUCUACUUUUUCGACGACUUCAUCAUAUUUUUCCUUUUUAUUACGAGUUCUUAGGAGUUCGUCGACUUAAGCUCAGCGUAUUCUCAAGUUCCGCGUGAGCACCUCUUGGCCGUGACAUCCGGGCGUAUCGCUGUUGUCGGGACCAAAGUGUUCGAAUUAUCACCUUUACCGAUAGUAAGGUCAAAUCGGUUGGCACGCCUUAACGUUUGAAUCGGGUAUUAGCCCUUUGUGUUUGCAGAUCCAGCUUUUGCAUCAACACAUCUUUUGGCACGCCCAGUGGGACCAAGAUCCAAGAUCAAGAUCAACAUGUCAACUACUGAAUUCGAUCUGGAGAACGUCAUCCCGGUGACAGAAGCCAGUCUCAAAGAUGACCAGAAGUAAGCUAUUGCAAAAGCCAUGGAGGACUACAAGCAGCAAUAUUUGAAAUCCUUCAGCAUAAACAGGAGCGGUGAGGUGGUCCAGAAGAAGGCACUGCCGGCACCUCGGCAGGUUACUUUCGACGCCAAUUCUGGUAAACUCCUAGACAUGGUUGACGGCGCUAUUAACCGUGCCUUAAUCAAUCAAGCUGGUAUAUUGUCUAAUACGGUUUUCAAUGCCGUGGUUAGAACAUUCAAAGAAGGACAAUUGCCACCAAAUUAUGUGGGCCCUGUCUAUCAUCAGCCGGGAUCACCAGAAGUUACAGCUCCAUCGGCUGUUACAGCCGUUGCGGGCGCAGAAACUACUGUUCCUCCAAGCACGUUGGGAGUUACUAAUGCGCAAUCUACACCGAUGCUAACCAAUCCAUCCACUUCAGAUGGGCAGAUCAAGCUUGCUACAGAUUUAUUGGCGUCAACGAUGUCGGGAUCGGUUCCUCCUCCUAACUGGUGGGGUUACGGUAUGCCUCCAGAGUUGACGUCGAAGACACCUACGUAUCUCAGAUGGCUGAUGUGAGAGGCAAGGCUCCUAUGGCGUCGGCACCUCCAAAUAUGCCAAUGAAUCAGAGUCCCCAGUAUACUACAACUACUACUGCGAGACCUUACACUGGGAAUUCUCAAGCUCCAACGUUCCAGAUGCCUAACGCAUCGGCAGAUUCAAUGCCGAUGCAACAGAGGUUUAUGACUCAGUCAGGGUAUGUCAAUUCGAUGACGAUACCCAAUUACCAGUCAUCGGCAGGUUCUAUGCCGAUGAAUGUUAAUAAUGGAUGGCCUGGGCAAUUUGUGUUUCCACAGCAGAAUCGCAGAUCAAUCAGCAGGGCCAAGUCCAACCUGGGUUCCAUAAUCAAAGAUUGGUCAACCAGCCGAUGAAUCUCGGCCAGCAGUUUGGUGGCCAGGUGAUUAACCCGAUGUUCCAUGCAGAUCGCGCACCGCACAGACACGUGGAAGAUUAUCAACAGGUGCCAGAUCCACAACCACCUCAUCGGCAAGAUGCCGAUGCUUAUUGGGCCGAUAAGAUCGCUGAAGUGAUGAGGGACCAAUUUGGGAUAAAACCCAAAGUCAACACUUACUCUUAUCGGACACCGUAUCCUCCUGCAUAUGAUUUAAUUCCACUCCCAAAUCGGUACAAAGUACCAGAUUUCACUAAGUUUUCUGGACAGGAUGAUAAAUCAACCAUGGAACAUGUCAACAGGUUCAUCAUCCAAUGUGGAGAAGCUGCUAAUAGGGACGAGUUAAGGGUUCGCCUGUUCUCGUCAUCAUUGUCUGGAUCGGCAUUUACUUGAUUUAUAUCGUUACCUCCCAACUCAGUGAUUACUUGGGCCGAUCUAGAGAAGCAAUUCCACAAGUACUUCUUUUCUGGAGUACAUGAGAAGAAGAUCACCGAUUUGGUCAAAUUGAAGCAACGCAACGAUGAAUCGGUUGAAAGUUUUGUGCAGAGAAUACGGGAGGUUAAAAACAAAUGUUAUAGUCUGGUCUUGGACGAUCGGCAGCUUGCCGAUUUGGCUUUCCAGGGUUUGUUGCCGCACAUCAGGGACAAAUACGCCUCUCAGGAGUUUGAGAGCUUAAGUCAUUUGGUGCAAAGGAUUUCUGAUCAGGACGUCAGACCUUUUGAGCCCAAGAGAGCAUGGAAUAAAAAGGUGUCUUUUGUCGAUGAAGCAGCAAGCUCAGAUUCUGAUGAAGAGCCAGUCAUCGGCUUGGCAGAAUGGGUGAAAAACAAAAAGCCGAUGUCCUGCCCUUUUGGACAUAAAGAGCCAGAAAAGUUCGCAUUUGAUAUCACUAAAGCCGAUAGGAUAUUCGACUUUCUACUUCAGGAAGGCCAGAUCCAGUUGUCACCCAAUCACGUGAUCCCAUCGGCUGAAAAGUUGAAGAAGAUGAAAUAUUGCAAGUGGCACAAUGCAACUUCUCACAGCACCAAUGAGUGCAAAGUUUUUAGACAACAGCUGCAAUCGGCUAUAGAGUCUGGGAGAAUCAAAUUUGAUAGCUCCAAAGCCCAGAAGCUGAUGAAGAUCGAUCAACAUCCUUUCCCAACAAAUAUGCUAGAUGCUAAGGGAAAAACCAAGGUAUUGACAUCGAAAGCAGCUGAGAGGAGUUCAUCGGUGGAUCCCCAGCAUCAGAUUACUGCUGCCGAUGCCAAAAGAAAAGGUUUGAUCCAGGAGGGAUCCAACUCAGGAAGGCCUCCACGAUCCGGUAUUGUGAUAACUCAUAGAAGGCCUCGGGAGACCUGGCAGCAACGGGAGGAUCGGUAUCGGCGCCAGCAAAAAGACUAUCGUCGGGAAGAAGAAAGAUGCCGACGGGAGUGGAAUCGGCACAAGGAUCACUGGAACUGUCCAUUCUUUAUCCAUUGCUGGGAGCAAAACAUUAAAUUGCCCACUGUUGGGGAUUGCCCUGAGUGCAAUGGCUAUGAUCGGUAUGACAGGUCUGAUCGGCGCUACCACGAUGAUGAUCGGCGAUUUAAUGGGCCGAUUAGGGGGAGAGCAUCGGUUCAUGAUCGGCUGGGGGGCAGGCUCAGUGUGCACGAUAGGCUUGGUGAUCGUAUCGAAUAUUUUCCCACGAAUUGGGAAGAGCUUGAAGAGAUGGCUAAUGCACGAGUUCCCGAUGAGUUCAUAUUUUGCGGGGAUGCUAAUACUCAUCGGAUGGAGUCAAGAGAACAUCGUCGUCCGUCGGCAAGGCAGUCGCCACUUCCCCCAUGGUGUCCAGAGGGGUUGACUAAGACACAAAAAAGGAGACUGCAGCGCGAAAGGCGAGAGGAGCUAAGCAAGGGUGAGAACUCUGGCCAGCCUGGGGAUCAACAACAAUCAGAUCCUAAGGGGAAAGGACAAUCGGCAGGUGUCAACAUGGUAUUUAUGUUGCUGAUGGAAUUCCUUGCGCCAUACAGUGAUGAUGAGAGGUUGGAGUUUUCCGACCAGAUAGCUCAGUUGGCUCUGGAUCCGAUGACAGUCAUUUCUGAAAAGCCUGCCGAUAAUGAAAGACAACAUCUUAAAGCUCUGUUUGUAAAAGGUAGAGUUGAUGGUCAGCCAAUGACCAAGAUAUUGAUUGAUGGAGGGGCUGCUAUCAACAUCAUGCCAUAUGCAGUCUAUUGGAAACUUGGAAAAGGAGAUCAAGAUUUGACCAAGACCGAUAUGAUGCUGAAAGAUUUUGAAGGGAAUGUGUCUCCGGUCAAGGGGGCGAUAUGCGUUGAGUUGACCAUCGGCAGCAAAACUUUGCCGACAACUUUCUUCGUGAUCAGCGGAAAAGGUGCCUACAAUUUGCUGCUAGGGAGAGAUUGGAUUCACGCCAAUUGUUGCAUCCCAUCUACAAUGCACCAAUGCUUGGUCCAGUGGAUAGGUGACAAGAUUGAGAUUGUCCCAGGAGACUCUUCCUAUGUUAUUGCAUCGGCAGAGGCGGACACUUAUGAAAGGACUAGGUGCAUCUCAGGAGAGAUUUGGGAGAAGGAUUUCCUCAAAGUCGCCGAUUAUGAAAUUCCACCGAUCCAAGCAGUCGGUUCUGAUGAGGAGUUUUAAUGGAUAGGUUCGCCGAUGAUGGAAAAUUAGGCCAGGGAUUCACAUCGGCCGAUGAUUUAAUAGAGGUAGAUAUAGGUAGUGGAGAUAAACCUAGACCUACUUUUAUUAGUGCUAAGUUAAAUUCUGAGUGUAAGCAGCAGUUAACCGAUUUGUUAAAGGAAUAUAAAGAUUGCUUUGCUUGGGAUUAUACUGAGAUGCCUGGUUUAGACCGAUCAAUUGUUGAACAUCGGUUACCUAUUAAGUCUGGAUUUCGGCCACAUCAGCAGCCAACUCGCCGAUGCAAUCCUAAUAUUCUUCCUGAUAUUAAGGCCGAAAUAACCAAACUUAUUGAAGCUAAAUUUAUUCGGCAGUGUCGGUAUGCCGAGUGGAUUUCCAAUGUGGUCCCAGUUUACAAGAAAAAUGGAAAGCUUCGAGUUUGCAUUGAUUUCAGGAAUCUUAAUAAAGCUACGCCGAUGGAUGGUUAUCCAAUGCCGGUUACCGAUCUGCCGGUUGAUGCUGCGGCUGGACAUCGGAUCAUCAGUUUUAUGGAUGGUAAUGCAGGAUACAAUCAAAUAUUCAUGGCUGAAGAGGAUAUUCCAAAGACUGCGUUUAGAUGUCCUGGUCAUGUUGGGCUGUUUGAGUGGAUAGUCAUGACCUUUGGCUUGAAAAUGCUGGUGCUACUUAUCAAAGGGCCAUGAAUUUUAUCUUUCACGAGUUCAUCGGCAAGCUGGUGGAAAUUUACAUCGAUGAUGUGGUGGUUAAGUCUGGAGAUUUUACAAAACAUCUUGCUGAUUUGCGAAAGGUGUUGGAAUGCACAAGGAAGCAUGGUUUAAAGAUGAACCCUAAUAAGUGUACGUUUGGUGUAUCGGCAGGACAGUUUCUUGGUUUCAUUGUGCAUCAGAGAGGGAUUCAGAUUAGUAGAAGAUCCAUUGAUGUUAUCAACAAAAUAGUUGCUCCUACCAACCAAACCGAGCUCCAGUCCUUGAUCGGCAAGGUAAAUUUUAUCAGGAGGUUUAUAUCUAAUUUGUUUGGUAAAAUCCGUGCUUUCAUUCCUUUACUCAAAUUAAAAGCCGAUCAAGAAUUCGUAUGGGGAAAAGAGCAACAGUUGGCCCUAGAUGAAAUCAAGAAUUAUUUGGUGAAUCCUCCGGUUCUGAUUCCACCCCAGCAAGGAAAGCCCUUCAGAUUGUAUUUGUCUACCGAUGGGAUGGUCAUCGGUUCAGCUUUGAUUCAAGAAUUUGAAGGGAAGGAGCGUGUAAUUUAUUAUUUAAGCAGGAGGUUAAUUGAUGCUGAAACCAGGUAUUCGGCUGUUGAAAAGUUAUGUUUGUGUCUAUAUUUCUCAUGUAUUAAGUUGAGGCACUAUUUAUUAUCGGCCAAAUGCACUGUUAUAUGCAAAGAUGACGUGGUCCGAUAUAUGCUGACUAUGCCGAUUAUAAGUGGCAGGAUCGGUAAGUGGAUUUUGACGCUAUUGGAGUUUGAUCUGCGUUACGAAUCGGCUAAAGCGGUUAAAGGACAGAUCAUGACCGAUUUUGUGACUCAACAUCGUGGUGCAGUAGAAACUUCGGAAAUUGUGCCUUGGAUGCUCUUCUUUGAUGGAUCCACGUGUGACCGGGGGGCAGGAAUCGGCAUAGUGCUAAUUUCCCCUCGGGGAAGGAAAUAUGAGUUCUCCUUGCCGAUUGCUGCCACAUCGACAAAUAAUCAAGCCCAAUAUCAAGCUUUGAUAAAAGGGUUGGAACUAUUAAGAGAAGUUCAUGCUGACGCUGUUGAAGUCUUUGGGGAUUCUAUGCUGGUUAUAAAUCAACUGGCUGGAAGCUAUGAAUGUCGCAGCGAAGUCCUGAUAACUUAUCACGAGAGGAGUAUGCAAUUGUUAAAGGAAUUCAAGGAUUUCCGAUUAGAGCAUGUUCCUCGGUUGCAUAAUGAAGAGGCCAAUCGGUUGGCUCAGCAUGCCUCGAGAUACCAGCCCAUGUUGAAUACGAUGUCGGCAAUUGGCGCUGAUGAUUGGAGAAAAGAAAUCGUUGAUUAUUUGAAGGAUCCAUCCAAGAAAGUUGAAAGACGUGUUCGGUUUCAAGCCACCAAGUAUGUGCUCCUCGGAGAUGAAUUAUACUAUCAAACAAUUGAUGGGAUUCUUCUCAAAUGCUUGGGUGAAGAUGAAGCUAAAAGUUUGAUGGGAGAAAUCCAUGAAGGAAUGUGUGGAGCACACCAGUCGGCAUUCAAGAUGAAGUGGAUGAUCAGGAGAAAUGGGUAUUAUUGGCAAACCAUACUUGAAGAUUGCUUUAAAUAUUUCAAGGGGUGUCAAGGAUGUCCGAAGUUUGGCAAUGUUCAAAGAGCACCCACAUCGGCCAUGAAUCCCAUUAUUAAACCUUGGCCGUUCCGGGGAUGGGCUAUUGAUCAAUUGGUCAGAUUUAUCCGCCAUCUAGCAAAGGACAUAAGUUUAUAUUGGUUGCUACCGAUUAUUUCACCAAGUGGGUUGAAGCUAUUCCUUUGAAGAAAGUCACAUCGGCCAAUAUGAUUGAUUUUGUGAAAGAGCAUAUUGUUUACCGAUUUGGGAUUCCUCAAACGAUUACUACCGAUCAGGGUACUAUGUUUACAUUAGGAGAGUUUGAUGAAUUUGCAAUCGGUAUGGGAAUCAAAGUAUUAAAUUCUUCUCCUUAUUAUGCUCAAGCUAACGGGCAGGCCGAGGCGUUUAACAAAGGAAUUAUCAAGCUUAUUAAGCAAAAAAUCGAAGAAAAUCCUAGGAGGUGGCAUACGUUGUUAAAUGAAGCUUUAUGGUCCUAUCGGAUGGCUUGUCAUGGAUCGACCAAAGUUUCACCUUAUCAGUUGGUGUAUGGGCAUGAUGUAGUGCUACCUUGGGAGGUUAAGACUGGAUCUAGAUGACUAUCUUUUCAGGAUCAAUUGGCUGCCGAUGAUUAUGCUACAUUGAUGACAGACGAAUUGGAUGAUUUAGCAGGACAUCGGCUAAGAGCUCUGAUAAGUAUAGAAGAAAAUAAGGAGAGGGUUGCUAGAUGGUAUGAUAAGAAGGUGAAGGCUAAGGAGUUUGCCGAUGGAGAUUUAGUAUGGAAACUAAUCUUACCGAUCGGGACUAAAAGUUCAAAGUUUGGGAAGUGGUCUCCUAAUUGGGAAGGUCCUUAUCAGAUAAAUCGAUCUGCUCCCGGCAAUGCUUAUAUCUUGGAAACUCUCGAAGGAGUUGAAUUUCCCAGAGCAUUAAAUGGCAAAUAUUUAAAGAAGUAUUACCCGAGCAUAUGGGUCGAUGCAUGAGAGAUUAAGUGCCGAUAACAUUCCUAUCGGCUAGAUUUAAACUAUAUCUGGGACCAGACUUAAUGUUUUAAACAGAUGCCGAUAACAGUCCUAUCGGCUAGACCAAAAUGGUUAGAAUGAAGAAGCAAAGAAUGCCGCUGAUGAAGAGUUCACAUGUUCAACAGCGCCUGGAUCGUCGAUAUGGCGCGCAGACGGAUCUGGUUGGCUUCUUCUAUCUCCUUCACGUCAUCAUCGGCAGAGCCCUCCACUGGCUUCAGCUUCUUCUUCAUCUGCAGCGCUUUGCGGCCAUGGACAUUUCGCUCUUGUUCAAGAAGUUUGAUCGCCUCAGGCAGCUGUCUUUCCUCUUGUUGAGCUUGGGACAAGGCUUCUUCUACUUGCUUGAGUUCUACCAACAGGGCUUCUCCUUUUGCCGAUAGAUCAGAGAUCUUGUGCUUCAGCGCAUCUCCUGAGGACUUCAAGAUGCCGAUGUUCUUGUGCUUCUCAUCGGCAAGGAGCUUCACUUUCAUCAUCUCCUCAGAAAGCUGAGCCUGAGCAGCUCUAUCGGCAAGACGCUCGGUAGCCUUUUGAUAUUGCAGCUGACGGCUCUCUAGAUGUGCAGCUUGAAAAAGGAUUUCUUCGGCAUCGGUAGAAAUUUGGCCUCUGAGGGUCUUGAACAAGGCCUUGGCCAAGUCGGAGUCAUCAACCAGUUGGGCUGUGUCUUGAUGAAGGAGGGCUAAUAAUUCUUCUAACUUUGCCCUGAUCUAUGCCGAUGUGAUUCCAACUGCUCGGGAAGAACUUGCCUCCUCGCCUUCAUCUUCAGAGAUGUCGAUGGCAAAGGAGAACAAGCUGUCAGGGGAGUCCUGUUCCUGAAAGAGAAAAAACAAAAUAAGUUAUUCUAUGAUCAAGCAUUGGUAAACGAUACAGGUAGAGAUUGGGUAACUUACUUGCUUCAGGGCCAUCUCUCGCCUCUGACUGGAUGAUGCCGAUGGAACCACGGGCUGAUUGGCUGGAAUCGCCGAUGAGACUAUGUUAGCUGAAAAGAUUGACAGAAGUGAUUAGGUAAAGUGGAGAAAUAGGUUCAUUGGCAAUAAAUGGAAAAUAUAUUACCUUGAGGGGAUGCAGUACUCGUCUGGACCGAAGAAGCUAUCGAUGCUAUGGUUAGACUUGCUGGGUCAGCAGUCUGCUCGUGUACAUCAACCAAUACUUCUUCUAGCUGAGGUUCUUCUGGCUGGAGCUCUUCCACUUGAGGUUCUCCUUGUGGCUGAGGAGGAGAGGGAAUUUGCUGUGUCUGGGCUUCUGGAGAAGAAGGGGAUGAUUCUACUGGGAUUGGAGAUACUGGGGGGGGAGAAGGCGUUGCUAUUCUUUGGCGCUUUGCUUAUGAUCUGGUACUCUUGGCACCUUUUCUCUUUGGCUGGCUGGACUGGGGGGCAUCGGCAGUCGUACUUCUGGUCUUUGCCGAUGUACCAGUGUGCUGAAACAACAGUAAGAAGUUUUGUGAGUGCAAGUCUAACGGGGUAUAAGAGUAGAAUCAGUACGAGUGAAGAAGUAAAAACUUUACCUUGAAGGCUUGCGCUAAGGUAGUGGCGGCUACCGAUGGGGAUGUCUUCGUUCGCCUGGUGGUGACCUUCUUGAGACGCACACCUCGGUGCAUUAUAGCAGCCAAGGUGGGAGCGUUGUUGCCGAUUGAGGAGAUCGGACCCGAUGGAAGGAGCUCAAUCGGCUUGCCACUCCUGCUGACCGAUGGUGGUAUAUCAUCAACCUGCAUGAGAUGAAGAAAGGAGAUCGGUACGUAAGAGCCGAUCUGCAGAACAGGUGCUCUUUCCAUUCUUCCCACCAUUGUUUGUAUGCCUGAGUGAUGAAGAGGGCCGGGAUCCAAUCUGAUAAAUCGGCAUCUGUAUCGGCAUUUGGUGGCAGUUGAGCUAUUCUGGUCCACUCAAGAAGACUAGUGAUGGUUUCCCUAGGUUUUAUCACAUCGGCAUAACAAAGUGCAAUCGGUAGCUGACCGAAAGCCAGUUGACGGGCUAGUGCCGAUGGGUUGUAGAAUUCGUAGGUCUGGUUGGAGGCCUUCCCACAGCCAAAAAAGUUUACUGGUAUGGCUCUUGGGGUGAUAAGUGUCAUCAUUACAUCAUGAUCCUUAUUGAGAGCGUCGUUGAAGGGAUGGAAGACCAAAGGAAAUCUGGUGUCUGGGUCUUCAUAAGGCAUCCAUGCUCGUUGUUCUCUGGUCAGGCCCUCGUACAGAGUCUGAAAGAAUCGGCUGACCAGAUCCGUGUUACCCCCUGUGCUAGGCAAGACUAUGGUAGCCUCGCCAAAGUUCAGAGGAGGACGAGUUGCCGAUUCUUCUUCACCCAGUUCAUGAUCCUCGGCUAUAUCUCUGGGGAAACAUUGUGCAAAGAGGUCAAACCCAAGACGCUUGUGCAUAUGGAGGCUGAGCCACAUAUUGAUGAACCACCAGGGGCCACCUAAGUUGCCGAUGGGUUGGCCAAGCAGAAGUUUCCUGGCUACUUGCUGGAGAAGAUGAUAGGCAGAACCGAGCAGGUAUCGGCUGAGGGGAAAUCGGCCACCAUUAGCUAAUCUCUCUGCUGCCAAUAGGUAGACAGAGGUUGGUCCUGCCGAUCGACCGCUGAACACAAAUUUGUCCAGCCACAUGUUUAGAAAGGUGGUUUGUUCCUUUAUGUUAACAGUCCCUAUUCUAUGGUACUUCUGAAUGUAUCCAGACCAGCCGCCGAUAGAGCGGGUUUCCACCUUAGCACUAGGUGUGGUGUCAAAUAUGUGGCUACUAUCGGCAGUGGAUACAUCUAGGCCGGUGAGCAUAAGCACAUCGGCAAGGGUGGGAGAAGCAGGGCCAUGGCCGAAAACAAAGGCAUUGAGUGUGUCUGACCAGAAAUAUGAUGCGGCAAUCAGCAGUGACUCAUUCCUAUGCAUGUCGGCAAGGGACAACCUGAUGCAUUGAUCUAGUUUUCGCUCACCCCACUGAACCUCAUUUGAAUGGCUGACUCUCAAGAACCAAUCCUACCAUCCCUUGGUGGGACUGGGCCAGGAACGGAAGGCGUCUUUCCACAGAUCUAGAGAGAAGUUCUCGGCUCUAAAGGGGAUUCUGUUUGUCUCUGCGUUGAUCAGAUCGGUAGGAUCUGGGUUGCCUAGUGGACCGAGAUAUUGGAGGUGUGGUUGAUCGUUAGGGAUGACAAUUCUAUUAGAUAGAUCCUAGAGGUUUUUGGGGUGAAAGAAGAGCAAAAGAAAAAAGAAAAAGGUAUUCAGUAAGAUGAACUGCGAAUGAACAGGAGUGCGGUGAAAAUACAGGAGAGAUGGGGUGAUGAACUGACCUCAGGAAUAGCAAAGUUGAUGGCCAUCUCCUCGCAGGGAAGACGAUCGAAGACUUUGGGGUUGGUGGAGAAAGGCCUUCGUUGGAGUUCUUGGGGCUCUCGAGUAGUGCCGUCGCCAGAAAAGCAGAGUUGGGGCUGUAGAAUGAUGCGAUGGAGAAGGAGUACUCGAGAAGGAACUAUUUCUAGGACAAAAUGGGCAAGGGCAAAUCUGACUUAUCUCAUCGCCGUAUCCGUGAAAUCCGAGGAUACUCAGGUAGAUAUGGUAACUGUUCGCACGGUAAUCAAGGGAUUGUGCAGGCGAUUUGACAGGAAGCGGUCAUGAUCUGGAGAUAUUUCACUGUGCGGGAUUUCCUGGUCGGUCCAUCGGCAGCUUCCUCCAACGGUCAUAUUGCCGAUGGGCGAAUAAAGUGGGGAUGUCCGCUAUCUAGUUUGGGAGGUUGAGAAAUUCUAGGAGUCUCCGAAAGAAUCGGGCCAAGGUUGUUCGGAUUUAAUGGUCAGUUGCCAAAUUGGGAAGAUUAAUUACGGAAAGGCAUCAUUAAUGUAGAGAAUUUUGGAGCAUUAAGGAUUUCAUACUCCGAAACUGGGGGGCAUGUGUUGACACUGUUUUUUGACACGUGCACAGAAACCAGUAGAGUACAAGAUCGGCAGGCGGAGCAACGGUAACUAGACUGUAGAAGAGUUGCCGAUGAGGAAGGUUGCCGAUGGCUCCGUGGGAGUUGCCGAUUGACCCGUGGCGGUGUCCUGGUCGGUUACAAGGGGAUAGUUUUAUGUUUUCCUUAGUCGUUUAAAUUCGUUUUGUAUACGGAUUCUGUUUAAUUUGGAAUUCGAGUCUUAGUCAUGUCUAAUUGUAGCUCUUUGAGCAGGGUAUAAGUGUAGACCCUAGGGCCUUGUAAUAUGAACGAAUCAAUCAAUCAAACACAAGUUUUUUCUCAUAUUCCAGCAUCUACUUUUUUGACGACUUCGUCAUAUUUUUCCUUUUUAUUACGAGUUCUUAGGAGUUCGUCGACUUAAGCUCGGCGUAUUCUCAAGUUCCGCGUGAGCACCUCUUGGCCGUGACAUCCGGGCGUAUCGUUGUUGUCGGGACCAAAGUGUUCGAAUUACCACCUUUGCCGAUAGUAAGGUCAAAUCGGCUGGCACGCCUUAACGUUUGAAUCGGGUAUUAGCCCUUUGUGUUUGCAGAUCCAGCUUUUGCAUCAACACAUAGCUUUACGGUGGCUAGACGUACGUGUGGAGGUAAAAUUCCUCUUAAAACCACCGGCAGCAAUUGCUUCAUUAGAACGUGACAGUCAUGACACUUCAAGUUCAGGAAUUUCUUCUCUAGCACAUUAAUUAUUCCCUUGAUUUGGAGGAGAAUCCAGAUGGGACCUUGAUGCUGCUAAGACAUUCAAACAUGCUUUCCUUCUCUUCUUUGCUCAGAGUGUAGCUAGCAGGGCUUAAGUAAUGACGUCCAUCAUCUGUCUUUUCUGGAUGUGGGUUGUCUCAUUCUUUCAUGCACUGCAAAUCUUGUCGUGCUUCAAGUGAAUCCUUAGACUUCUCGUAGGCAGCCAUGAAUCUGAGCAAGUUCACACAAAGAUUCUUUGUCAGAUGCAUCAUGUCGAUCACGUUGCGGACCUCUAGGACAUUCCAGUAAGGUAGCUCCCAAAAUAUGGAUUUCUUCUUCCACAUGGGUACGUGUCCCUUACCAUCGUUGUGAAUAGGUUCGCUGCCUCGUCCCUUUCCAAAUACCACUUUUAUAUCCUUGACCAUUUCGAGUACAUCAUCCCCGGUUCGAUUGAGAGGUUUGGUCCGGUGGUCGCCUUGUCUUUGAAAUGCUUGCCUCUCUUUCGUACUGGGUGGUUCACAGGAAGAAACCGACGGUGGCCAAGGUACACGACCUUUUGACAUUUUUUCAAAAAUGCACAGUCAAGGUCUUCAUAACAAUGUGUGCAUGCAUUAUAUCCCUUGUUUGAUUGGCCUGAAAGAUUACUCAGCGCUGGCCAAUCAUUGAUUGUUACAAACAGCAAUGCUCGCAGGUCAAAGUGCUCUUGUUUGUACUCAUCCCACACGCAAAGUCCUGGUUUGCUCCAUAAAAGUUGAAGUUCCUCAACUAAUGGCCUUAGGUAGACAUCUAUGUCAUUGCCAGGUUGCUUCAGUCCUUGGAUAAGCACCGACAUCAUAAUAAACUUCCGCUUCAUGCAUAGCCAUGGAGGAAGGUUGUAGAUACAUAGAGUAACUGGCCAAGUGCUGUGACUACUGCUCUGCUCACCGAAAGGAUUCAUACCAUCUGUACUUAAGGCGAACUGCAAGUUUCUAGCAUCAUCUGCAAAAUCUGGGAAUUCUCUGUCUAUCGCUCUCCACUGGGAUCCAUCGGCAGGGUGUCUCAGCAUAUUGUCUAUCUUACGGUCUUCUUUAUGCCACCGCAACAACUUUGCAUUGUCCUUAUUUCUAAACAGACAUUUUAAUCGUGGUAUUAUAGGAGCAUACCACAUAACCUUGGCAGUAAUUUUCUUCCUAUGACGUUCUUCUCCCUCAACAUCGCCAGGAUCAUCUCGCCUAAUCUUAUACCGUGAUGCCUUACAUACUGGACACGCAUCCAAAUUCUCGUAUUCCUCCCCAUGGUAGAGGAUGCAGUCAUUAGGACAUGCGUGUAUCUUCUGGAUUUCUAAUCCCAAAGGGCAGACAACCAAUUUUGCUUCAUACGUAGUGGUGGGCAAUUCGUUGCCUUUACGAAGCAUCUUUUUUAUGAUCUUCAAUAACUGCCCAAAUGCCUUGUCAGAUGUACCAUUCUUUGCCUUCCAUUGCAGCAAUUCCAGUGUGGUACCCAGCUUUUUUUGCCCCUCUUCAGCGGUGGGAUAUAGCGAUUUCCUGUGGUCCUCUAGCAUGCGCUCGAACUUGGCUUUCUCUUUAUCACUUUCACAUUCUCUUUGUUCAUCACGGAUGGCAUCACCAAAAGCAUCAUCGCCCCGAUCAUCUUUUGCCGCAACCUCUUCUUCAUUAUCUCCCCCCAUUGCAACAUCAUUGAAGCCACCGUACUAAGCAAUAAUAUUGGCAUGGUCUAAUUCUUCUUCUUCUUCUUCACCUUCAUCCAUUAUAAUCCCGCUUUCUCCAUGUUUGGUCCAACAAAUAUAGUUUUGUACGAAACCAGACUUUAAUAAGUGCGAAUGAAGAGUUCUUGAGUUAGAAUAUUCCGUCAAAUUCUUGCACACGACACAUGGACAGCACAUGAAACCGUCUCUCUUAUUUGUCUCGGCCACACUUAAGAAAUAGUGCACGCCAUUAAUGAACUCUUCGGAGCGCCGAUCGGCAUUAUACAUCCAAUUACGUGUUACCAUCUGCAUUAAAUAUAACAUAUAUAUUAUGAAAACCCUGAACACAUAUAGUUUCUCAUCUUAUUGCACAACAUGCCUAAGAUACAUAGUUGAUUAAUUCAGGAAAGCUUGGCUACAACAAAUACAAUCGCAACGAGCACUAAAAAAACCAAAACUAAAAUGCACUUAAGCAACAUAAUUAGUUCGCGUUCGAUCCCAACUAUAAUAGAUAGAUCAUUCGCUUGAUCAACAUCAUUGAACUCCUUUCGUCGGCUCACUGCCUCACCACCUUCAGCCUCAACCACCUAUACACAAGAUUUCUUAAUGUGUUCAAUGUAUUCUUCCUCCCAGUACCAACCUGUACAUCCGCCGGUACCGUCCCACUGAAAUUAAAAGAGAGAAUCAAAAGUUUAAUUAAUAUCAUUUAAAAAAAUAUGCACAUAUAUAAGCAAAUGUCUGGAAAUAACUCACAUUACGAUCCGGACACUUGUAGAAUAUACGACCCUUGUUUACUCCCUCUUUCGACACUUUGUACU